Molecule: long non-coding RNA, 80827 nt
Filed under: Brassica napus (rape)
Lineage: Eukaryota; Viridiplantae; Streptophyta; Magnoliopsida; Brassicales; Brassicaceae
Description: long non-coding RNA (BNAP_LNC011267)
Source: RNAcentral
AAAAAAAAAAAUCUUUUUUUUUCUUCUUUUUCUUCUUCUUUUCUUUUCUGCUCUUCUCUCGUUCUCUCUGUUUUUUUUGUUUUUGGGAUGCCUUUCAUCUUCACCUCAGCUCUCCUUUUAUAAACAUGAAAAAUGUGUUUGGUGAGCUCACAAUCUUUGACAAAACCAACGUCAACAAUUUCAGCUCACAGUCCAUGCAUGCCGACCAACACGUAAAACGUGUUUUAACAAAAUCUCCCCUCGUGGUUGUGAUUUCAUGUCAUUGAAAUGCCAUUAUGGUUGCACAACUCAAGAAAGAAAGAAAGAAAGAAAGAAAGAGUGGAUUAAAAUCAAGAUAAUAGGGUGAUUUGGGGUCGAGUGCGGAAGGUAGGCUCCGGCCAACAACUAGAUUAAGACCAGCGCCUUGAAUAAUUAAAAGUCAAUAACUAUUACAUAUAUAAUUAAAUUGGUGCGAACGUAUAAAUCAAUUUUAUUAAUCCAAACAAUUUUUAAAAAAAUUUGAUAGGAUAUGUAAUUAAAUUUAAAUGAUAUUAACAUAGAUAGUAUAUUUUUAAUAUUAAUGUCUAUUAAAUGAUGCUUUCUACUCAUAAUUUUUUUAUCAUGCGUAUCUUUAAUAGCAAAAACUUUAAAUUACUGAUAACAAAAUUUUCAUUGUGGAAUUAAUAAUUUUAGUAAUUUAUAAUUUAAAAGAAUUUAUCAAUGUUAGUUCAAAACUUUUAUCAAAAAUAUUAUACAAAGUAAAUUUUGAAAUUAAAAUAUUAAUUUAUUCAAUAUGGUUUAUAGUUUAAUUUAGAAUGAUAUAUAUACAAUAUAUUUUAAAUCUAAAUGAUUAAUUAAAUUAGACUUUUAUUUAUAUGAUUUUGUAAUCAUUUGUAUUUUUGUCAUAACAAAAAUUUUAAACCAUGAAUCGCAAAAUUUGAAUGUGAGACUUUUAACAGUUUUAGUAAUUAUAGUCAUUUUUUAAAAUUUAAAAUAUAACAUAAACAGAAAAUGCUAAAUUUUUAUAAUAUUUUUAUUGUGAUUUUUUUUAAUUAUUUUAAUAGUUUAAAAUUAAACAAAUUUGAUACAAGAUAUAUUAUUUUUUUUAUCAGAUCUUUAUUAUUCAAAAUUAUUAAUUGUCAUAUAUAUUUUAGCCACAUUAGACAAUUCCGUAAUCUUUAUUUAAGGAAAUAAUAAAUGAUAUUAAUAAUGAAUUUAUGGUUAGUUUAAUAAAAAGCUUAUUAUAUAAUUAGAUGGACUAACAUAUUUCUCUAAUAAUUCUAAGAAUCAUCCUAUUGAUGACACGUGGAUACAAAAAAAAGUUGUAAUGUUUCACAAAUAAUAUAUAGGAGAUUUUUUUUAAUGAAUGACAGAAAGGUUUGCAAUUCAUUAAACAACUAGAGCGCGCCCGUGCGGGUUUUGGUUUUUGGGCGCGAAGAUUUGGUUUUUACUUUUCUAUAAAUUGCGUAAUGACAUUUUUAAAUACAUGCAUAGAUUACUUGUCUAAAUUUAGUUAUUUACAAACUUACCCAUACAUAGAAGAAUCCUAUUCGAACUCCAUCCAAAAAUUUAUUAUACUCGAACAUAGUUUAGUUUUAAAAUUCAAAAAAAAAAUUAAUACCCGUAAAAUCGAUAUGUACUCGAACUUGUACAUGAAUGCCUAUAUCUAGCUAACUCUGUAAACAAGUAUAUUUUUUUGAUAACCGGUUUGAAUUCCCUUCGCGAAUAGAAUAAUUUUAUUGAAACAUGUGAAAUUAUUAUGGUUAACACGUAAAAUAAAUGAUGUCGAAUUAUUAUGGUUAAUGUAAUUAAUGAAGUAGUUUGAAAAAGUAGAAAAACAAUGUAAAAAUAUAAUAAAAAAUUAAAAAUAUGUAAGUUUUGUUUUGUGUGUUUCAAAAAAAAUGUAAGUUUUGUUUUGUAUUUCUGAAACAAAUGAAGAUGAAUUAAUUAGAAAAGACAAUAAAUGAAGUAAUUAGAUAAAAAUGAAUGAAAAUCUGUAAGAAUUUAUUAAAAUAGGUAAGUAUUAUUUUGUAACUCUAUUAAAAUAGAUUAGGCUUAAAGGGGCCUUGCAAUUCCUCUUCUAAGCCCAAACAUUUAAGUUAAGUUAAACAGUAGAGACUUUUCUUUUUGACGAAAAGUCAAAUUUCACUUCAUCAUUUUGGUCUCUUUCGUUUUCCGGCCCCUCCACUGGUAUAUGUCACAGUCACACAGUACUUCACUUCAUCAUCUUGGUCUCCCUCGUCUUUAACGUCCGGCCCUCCAAUUAUUGUCUCGGCCUUCUCCUUUUAAAGAUCAGAUCAUGCACGACUCAUAUGGAAUAUAUAAAGAUAAGGUGUAACUCCGAGUCUCCGAUUCACUAGAAUAUAACUAAUAAAGGACUAUGAUACCAUGUUAAAAAUGUUAUGGAUGGACACUAUUGAUAUAAUUACCAUAAUGUAAAAGCUAUCUAGUCCAACUAUAAUCACAUGAAAAUACAUAAAGACAUCAUGGAGAUCUAGGAUCGGAGCAUCUCCUUCGUUAUAAUCUCAAUUUGUAAUUGGUAUAAGAUAGUAACUAGAGUUAUUUAACUUUGAAUUAAUUACGAACUGCCAUUCUAUUACUAGUCUGAAUUAAUUAGUCAUAGUACCUAAAUGUGAUAUUCCAUAGCGGGGAAAAAGCCAUCUGCUAGCAAAGUAACACUAGAACUUUCAACAGAAAACAACUUAUUAUAUAUAUAGUCUAAGAGUAAUCCCACUGCUAUUUUUUUUUUUUUUUUGCAAAGUAUGUAGAAGUUAUUAAAACUAGGAAAAAAAUAGGAAGAGGGAUAUGAAUUUUUAUUUGAGAAACCCAACAAAAAGAUUAGAAAUACUUUUACAAUAUGUGUCGGCCUGUGAUUCAUUUAAUUUCUUUUUUAAUAAUUUAAAAUUAACUAACGAUAGAAUUGAAACUAUUAGUAUUUUUGCCCGUGAGAUAUUUUGGUGGGUCUUUACCAAUGGACAUGAUAUAAUAGAGAGAACGUGUUAUGAUCAGGAGCCAUACAUACGAAUAUUCCUGGUAAUCACAAACGUCGUGGUCUUUGUGUCCUACAAAACUAAAUGACAGAAACAAAGACUUCGGGAUGCUAAAUGAGUUGGUACAUUGACUUGUCUAUAGUUAAAUAAUAUUCCUUCCGAUCUUUUAAUAUAAGUCGUUUUAGAACUGUGCACAUAGAAUAAGAAAUCAUUAAUUUUUUAUAUUUUAUAAACAAAAACAUCAUUAAUUAUUUACUUAACCACAAAUCAACCAAUAAUAAAAUAGAAAGUAUAUUAUCAUUAGUCAUAUAACAUUAAGUGUUAAUAAAUUUUACAUAGAAAACCGAAAACAUCAUAUAAUUUGAAAAAUAAAAAAAUUUCUAAAGAGACUUAUGUUAAAGGGAGUAGUAUUAGAGUUGGGUCAAGGAAAAUAAGUCAAGAGAACAUCUCAAGACGGGAGGCUAGAGGAAACUCAUAGAGAAACAAAUUAGAGUGAAAGAGAGAGAGAGUGGGAAGAUGAAGGUGCAUGGUGUGUUCUUGAUGGCUGUUUUUUACUACCAUGCAUAUACGGAGCUGGUCAAUGGGCAGCCUCGCAAGGACUGUCAAACUAGUUGUGGCAAGGUCACAAUCGAGUACCCUUUUGGCACUUCUCCAGAUUGUUACUAUGCCGACGAUCCUAGUUUCAAUAUCACCUGUAACGAGAGAGAAGAGUUGAUCUUUGGUGGUAACAAAGUAAUCAACAUUUCUCACACGGAGCUACGCGUCUGGAAUGAUAUUUCUUACGCUUGCUACGAUAGCGGAGGAAAUGUGACUGAUGGGGUUUCCUACAGUUACUCGCUUGCUAACUUAUCUCUCUCCCGCAACAACAAGUUUACUUUAGUUGGCUAUAACGCUUUUGCACUUCUGAGCACUACUGGAGCGCGAGAUUACUCAACUGGAUGCUUGUCAGCAUGUGACUCUCCACCGGCGGGAAAUGGGGACUGUAAUGGUGAAGGUUGCUGCAGGACCGAUGUCUAUGUCCCUUUGGAUAGCAUUGGAUUCGAAACUCGCCCAUCUGGCUUUGGGAACAUGACUGUUAUGCAUGACUUUAAUCCUUGCAAAUACGCCUUUCUAGCCGAAAAUGGUACUUUUCACUUUAAUGCUUCGGAAGAUCUUAAGAACCUAAGAAAUGUCAAAGAGUUCCCUGUGUUACUGGAUUGGUCUAUUGGAAACCAGAGAUGCGAUCAAGUUGGAAACAGAAGCAUAUGCGGUAUGAAUAACAGCAUAUGUGUCAAUUCUACUCGUGGAACCGGGUAUAACUGCAAAUGUUUAGAAGGUUUUGAGGGGAAUCCUUACCUUUCAAAUGAAAAGGGUUGCCAAGGUACACUUCACGUUAAUUUAUUUUUUCUUUCUAUCGUCUUUCAACGGUUUAGUCGUACAUUUCUUGUUUCAUCCAACGGAUUAUUUACCUGUGUCAGACAUCAAUGAAUGUAUUAGUACUAUCCAUAAACAUAACUGCUCGGAUCCCAGCACCUGUAGAAACAAGGAUGGAGGGUUCUAUUGUAAGUGCCGAUCUGGUUACCGCUUAGAUACAACCACUAUGAGUUGCAAGCGUAAAGACUUUGGAUGGGCUACUAUUCUUCUUGGUAAGCUUCCCUCAUUUCUUUUCUGGACUUGUAGUUUCCAAGAUGUUAUCAUCUCUAUGUGUAUAUGAUCUCCUAAUGUUUAUAACCAGGCCUGGGCAAAAAAAAUUAAACCGAAAACCUUAACAAAAUUUACUGAAAUAACCGAAGCCAAAACCGGAUCAAAAUUUUUAAAUACCCAAACGAUUCUUAUAUUUCUAUAUCUGAAAUAACCAAACCGAACUAGCAAGAACCAAGCAAGACUCGAAUAUAUAAAUAUAUUAAUUAUAUAUACAUAUAACAUGACUAAAUAUAUGUAUAGUUUCAAAAUCUAUUAAAAGUGUAUGAAAGUAUUUGAAAAGCUUAAUUAUCAAAAAGCAUUGUAUCUAAACUUGUAUCUGAAAUUAUCUGAAAGUAUCAUAUAUUUUUAUCCAAAAUAAUCUGAAUUAUCUGAAGAUUUUUAUUCAAACAUCUAAUUAGACCAUACAUAUCCAAUAUAUUACUUGAACUAUCCAAAUUAACUGAAACUACCGAAUCGGAAUUGGAACCAAACAUGAACCCAAUUUUUACGUAUUAGAGUGCUCCUAAUUUAUUAUCCGAACCAAAAAUUUUCCGUUCCUAUAGGAACUACCCCAUAUACUUGACCCUAACUGGUAUCUGAAAUGCCCAAGCCGUUCCUAUUUAUAACUUUGGGGUCGUCCUGAACUUAAAAAGCCAUGUCUAUAGCUCCCCUCGCUAUUUCCUGAUUCUUUCUUUUACUGUGUGAUGUGAUCAGGAACAACCAUUGGGUUCUUGUCCAUCCUGCUUCUCAUUAGCUGCGUACAACAGAAAAUGAAGCACCGGAAGACAGCUGAGCUCCGACAAAAAUUCUUUGAACAAAAUGGUGGCGGCAUGUUAAUACAGAGACUCUCAGGACCAGGGACAUCUAAUGCUAAUGUAAAAAUCUUUACCGAAGAAGGCAUGAAGACAUCAACCAAUGGUUAUGACAAGAGCAGAAUCCUGGGCCAGGGAGGCCAAGGAACAGUCUACAAAGGGAUAUUACCUGACAACUCCAUAGUCGCAAUAAAGAAAGCUCGGCUUGGAGACAACAGCCAAGUAGAGCAGUUCAUCAACGAAGUGCUAGUGCUUUCCCAAAUCAACCACAGGAACGUGGUCAAGCUCCUAGGAUGUUGUCUGGAGACAGAAGUUCCCUUGCUGGUCUAUGAGUUCAUUAACAGCGGCACCCUUUUCGAUCACUUGCAUGGUUCCUUGUUUGGUCNNNNNNNNNNNNNNNNNNNNNNNNNNNNNNNNNNNNNNNNNNNNNNNNNNNNNNNNNNNNNNNNNNNNNNNNNNNNNNNNNNNNNNNNNNNNNNNNNNNNAUUAAGACAAAGAGCCUAAACUAUGAGUUUUCUGUUUUACACAGUAUAUGUAUCAUUUUUAACUCUUCAAAUUAUUUUUUUGGCCUAAGUUCUUUAACUCUUUAAAUUCAUAAUAACAUCUUAAUUACGAUGUUACAUCUUUCUUACAAUAAUUUACAAACUUUCUGUUUUGUGUAGUAUUGCUUUAAUAUAUUGAUGCUUGAUCUUACAUCUAAAUAUCAUAUUGAUGUAUUUGUUCGUGGAGAACAUAUUUGUAAACUAUGAAAUUUUAAAUCGUAUGUAUGCUCUCUUUGGGGAAUAGCCAGGUUUCGGUUAUGUGUAAAAUAGAUUUCUACAAUAGAACUUAAGGUUUUUAGUGUUAUAUGGACAUUGUUAUAGCUUGAAAAAAAAGAGAUUUAAAAAAAAAGAAAAACAAGUGAGGAGAUAUAAAGAUACAAUAAUCUUAUUUGGUUUCGUACACCAUUUGGUUUUAAGUAUAAGAGUUUGUUGUACACGGUUGCCGAAAAAAAGCUAUAGAUCCUAACUUUUAUGACAUGAAGAUUGUUUUAUGGUGGACAGUACAACAGUCAUCCAACCAUCAUCGUAAGCAGAAUUAUUUCAAAUAUAUAUUCUAAGAUUACAUAUAGAUUCUGAAACAUCAUACGUAAGAACUUGAUUUUUAGUAAGAAAAUAGAAAUUCAGUAAUUGGAAUUGGAAAAAACCAGUUUUAGUCAGUUGUGUAAUUUGUGACCAAAAAAAAAAAGUCAGUUGUGUAAUUGCGUUUAACAAUUUAUUUUUAUGAGAACACAAACAUGUAAGAUAAAAGAGUAUUAGGAUCAUAACUAUAGCUUAGUUAACUCUUUAUUAAACUCACAGUCUUUCUCAACAUCCUAUAUAUAUUAUUGGAUAUUAAAAAGAUAGAAAGUCUUGAGCUUUAGUUAUUGCAAAUUUGAUAUAUAAUUUAAAUUUUAUAUAACAUAGUCAUAACCCGGGCGUAGCCCGGGAAACUCUCUAGUUUAAUUUUAAAAAACAAAUGAAAAUUGUUACAAAAUUGAAAUAUUGAUAUAUUUCUUAAUUAUUGAGAAAUUUAAAUAGUAUCUGCCGAUAUUGAUGCUCUAAUGCUGACGUAAUAUUCCAACACAGAAAUAUGAUGGAUAUUCCAUCACAAAUUUUACGAUUGAGUUAAGACGACACCUCUUCAUUUGGUGAGUUCAGCUGCGAUCGCACUUGGUCGUCCAUGUACAGCAGAAAAAUCAACAUGGCGUAUAUCCAUUUUCAAACGUCAUCACUAAUCCAUUUCAAAUAACGAAGAUUUUGCAACAGAUUUGAAAAUUGCGAUUUUAUGCGAUACAAUUGAAUUAUUCUGUAACAACAUUUAUUUUGCCGCAUCAUAUUGUCAUUUUGUAUCAUAAUAUAUUUUGUUUUUCAUAUAUGAUCAGUAUUCUUAUAGUAAAAAUUUGACGAGGUGUUGGAAGAAAUUCGCGGUUCUUUUAUAUAUAUUUUUGGUAACUCUUUUGUGUUUUUCUUUUAAACCGCCGUAAAAACGAUAAGAACAACUUUUCCAAACCUGUUGCGUUUCAAAUCAACCUUUUUUUUUGUAACAUGCGUUUCAAAUCAACCAAUUAAAUAAAUCAAGUGUCAUUUACACCAAAUACUCCUCCACUAAGUUAACCAACUUAAGAACGGAUGAACACACGAACAACACAAAUAAAAGCAUAAUUUAUCUAUAAGAAAGAAAACCAUAUUAUAGUAUUCUAUUGGAAGUCUUUCAUGAACUUAAACAGAGGAUUUAAACCGGAUCGUUCCGGUUAGGUGACAGAUAAUUAAAGACGUUGAGUUGGAGAACCAAACAAGGCCAUCGAGCUCGGCGUAUACAAUGGAAUAUCAGCUAGGGUUUUCCUUUGUUGAUGUCUCUCCCAACUUGUGUCAUCAGUACCGACACUGACCUCUUCCGUGGUUAACACAGACAACGAUGAUUCGUUGACGUCGUUAGGGUUCCGCCUUCUAAUCUCUUCGAGACCCGUGAGCCGCUGAACCAAGGCCAUAAAGUUUUCAGCACGCGUGUGGAUCACCUUUGGAGAGUGCGCGUAGAUGACUACGGGAGCUGCACGUCCAUGUCGCCGUGACUGUUUGACGACGUUGAACGAAGUCGUUUUCUUGAUGGAAUGGGAUUCUCCUGUGAGUUUAAGCGACGGAGGACGAGAGCCGCUGAGCUCAUGGCAUCUUGUAGGAAUCAUGAUGAGUACUUGAAUAGUAUCAAGAGAAUGGGUUAAACAGAGAUGGAGUAAAGAUCAGGGAAGACCUUUGAAGAUAAAGGGAGAUAUUGAUUUGUGUAUCCGGACAAGACAUUCAUUAAGCUGAUUAUAUAUAAGUUAUAACUAUAUAUGCGUGUAAGUAUAAUUAAUUUAAAAUCAUAUUAUAUUAGAGCCAACGAUUCUGACCGUUGACUUUAAUACCAUUGCGCCAGUGUUUUUAAAACCGGACCGGAAGCUGAACCGAAUUUUUUUUGGGUCAUAGUUGAAUAUGGUUCGACCGGGUCAAACCUAGUUUAAUACUUUGGUUUAAUAUUUUUUUAGUAUAUAAAUUUUAAAGUAAUGUUAUUAAAUAUGAUACAUAACUAAAAUAUAAAUAAGUUUUAAACAUAAGACAUUAUAAAUAUAACUUAGUUUUAUGUUUAAUGGAUGAUUUAUAGAUUUUUAAUAGUUUUAGUGGCUUUUAUUGGUUUAAUAAUUUUGAAAUUCAAUCCAUCUACAUGGUCGGUUCAUGGUCGAACCAAUUACUAGACCCAACCCGGCUAUAUAACCGGUUCAUGGUCGAACCCGGUCCAACCAUCGGGUCGGUCCGGUUUAAAAAACACUGCAUUGCGGUUAAGGUUAGGUAUAUUAUCUGUUAAAUUUGAUUCGAUCUGUUUAUUCAUUUCGAGUCUAUUUAGAAAAUCUGGAUAUCUAUAAAAAAUUUGAAUCAAAGUAAAUAGCAAAAUGUAAUGUAAGAAAAAACCUAAUCAAAAAUAUUAUUUUUUAGAAAGCUAGAUAUCCAAUACGAUCCGUAUAUUUAUAAAUAUGUAACGUAAACCAUUAUGUUUAUACAUAUUUGACGAAGUAAUUUUUUAUUUUAAACUAUUAAAAAAAAAUAUUUUGGAUUAUUGUGUAUCCAAUUAAUUUUUAUGUUGAAUCAAAUGUCAACAUAUGAGUUUUUUGUUAGGCUUGUCAAUACUGAAUUUUUUUUUGCUUUACAGUUUCGGUUAAAGAUGUUAAUUUGUUAGUAUGGUAUUAUUAUUUUAUUUUAUGAUUAAUAAUAUAAAAGAUUGUUUAUUAAAUUUUCCGAAUUGAAACGAAUCACAAAUAUAAAUAUUUGUUCGAGAACAGAUCAAAAGUAUUCUAAAAUUUUCGGAUAUUCGGGCCUAAUUAUAGUUUUGAAGUAGAACGGUCGUUCUCGUUGAAUAGCAACAUGACAUGGCUCAGGUAUAUAUCAUUGCUUAUUAACAGUUUAAUUUUCUAAGAAAUCAUAAGUAUUUCUCUACUAAAUCUCUUCUUCUUUAAAAUUUUAGUUGCAAACUCCUUCUGUAAUCUGUAUCUACCUUUUAAACGUUUGUUUUAAAAUUUUAUGGUUGUAAUGAUCAUUUGGUAGAUCGUAUCCAAAACGAAUUUGUAAUAUAAUUAAUUCGAUAGAGAGUUCUUUAUUUUUGUUCAUCUUUGAACUUUGAAUAUUACUGCUGUGACCAUGCAAAGUUGGCUGCAGAUGGUCCAUUUACGCAAUAAGAAAUUUUACAAAUGUUCAAAACUAUCGGCUUCUUUUAAUUAAACCCACUUACAGUCUGCUGUAACCACUAAUCUAUUUGUUGUUUGUGUGUUUAUAAUGAUUAUCAACGACAUUGUAUUGUUAUGUAUAUUAUAUGCAUAAACUAUAUUAUUUGCGAAGAAUAAACAAAGCAACAUAGAAUUUUACAUACAAAUACAUAUACAAAAUAGUCCACACACUAAUUAUAUAUGUAGUAAAUGAUAUUUAUAUAAUGUGUACAUGCGCCACAACAUUAGAAAACUUGUAAACUCUAAUUGUUUAUCAAAAAGUCAAAAGCCUUUUAAUACAAAAAAAAUCGAAUAGAAAACCAAAAUAGUUGUUUCGAAAUACAAAGCUGAAACAUAGCACAACUUCUAUAGUUAAUUCAGACAAGGAGAGGCUCAGAAGGCGUCUAUCUUCCUAACAAGGUAAACCCCAAACGUAUUUCCAGUUUAUAAUAAAUCAUUUUGUCUUUUUUUUUGUGUGGAAUAUAUCAAUAUUUCAGGUUUAAUAUCUCACAGAAUUAGAUCCAAACGGUGCUAAUAAACGCUUUUACACACCCACGCAAAAUAUGAAUUUAAGAACAGAAAAUGAAAUAGGCACAUUGAUUUAAUAGUUAUGAUUCAUCAACUGUUCAUCUCGUCAAAGAUUUGUCAUUUGUUCCUUCGUAGCAACCGUUAAUUGUUGUCACUGUUCUGUUUUUUUUUCUUUAGCUUUAGGUUGUUUCAUCUGUUGAAAUAGCUUAAACCUAAUCUAGGAAUCUAAGAGCAUUUUUACUCUCUUUUUUUUUUUUUGCAGUUUUUAGCUUCAAAUUUGUAUUUAUGCAGAUUGGAUACAAUUCUUUUUAAAUACUUUCAUUAACUAUUAAUGAUAUUUCCAUCUUUAGCAAAUAAAAAACUGUCAUUUUAUUUAUCUUUAUUAUGCAUGUCACAAAAUUAGUUUUGAAUAAUUAUGCUUUUUCAAAUAUAUUUUUCGUUGUAAAUUUAUAAAUACGUCACGGAUGUAAGUAUUAAAAAUAUGAUUUUAAAAGGUAAUUCUUUGCCGUCUUUGUUAUAUUCCAACAUAUACUCUAUUUGAAAAAUUCACAAUGUAAUAAUUUCAACUGCUGUACACAAUUAUUUUAGGUUGAAAAUUACAUAUGAGUUCUAUUCUUCUCCCUUUUAAUUGGUUUAGAAAGAAAAUGGGCGGCUGUUCAAAAAAAAGAAAGAGAAAGUGGGCUCAUGUUUAAAAUAAUAGGCGUAAGAACUAAGCCCAAACAUUACGUAGAAUAGAAGUCCAAAGUAAAGAUCAACAAGUCCUAGAGCACAACUAGAACAUGAUAAUAUUAUAAAAUGGUAAGUGAAAAGCUGAGGCAUCGGGAUUAUAAGAUCAUGCGCAAAGGCACCGCACGCGCACUUUCACAUACACAUUUGGAUGUAAGUGUGCUACUGUUUAGGGCCUGUCAUAUUUAACGGAGGCAAACUGUUGUGCUUCGGGAAAGAAAAUCAAAUUAAUUUGAUAAUGUAUGAAACUAUAUGGCCUUCUUUCUUACAUUUCUUGGAUCUCCCGCAUCUCUUACAGUAAUACUUCUAUGUUCCUUUGUUUUGUCUGUUCGUUGUCCCUCGCAAUAUAUUUAAUUGUUCGUAUCAACUAUUAAGUGGUCUCUAUUUACUUGUGAAUUAUAGUAUAGUACUUAGAAGAUUAACUUAUUUCUAAACAUUUAUUAGUUGCUUCAAGCGACAGCAUUCCCCCUCUCGUCAAUAGGAACAUAUGAUCACGCAUGCCAUUUUCUCGUUCACGAAUCACCGACAUACAAAUGUACUACUUCACCUGUCUUCGUGACAUAAUUCCAAUAUAUGUGCGGAUGUUUGGUUAAACAUUGGCAUACUCGCUUGGUGUUUUUAAAUUCACCAGUCUCUUUGUACAAAGUAAUCAUGUAAAUUAUAACUAAUUAUUAACAAUUUCAUAUCAUAAGAUAAAUGGAAAUAUACUGUAUCUAACAAGCUAUUGAGAAGUUAGAAAAACAUUUAGGGUACUUGCAUUAGUGAUCUUUGACCAUAACUUUUAACCAAAAAAAGAAAAAAAUCAACGAAGGAAAGUAUCUAUAUAUAAUAGCAAACCCAAAUUUUGUUUUCUAUGAUGUCAGCAUUUGUUUAUAGGAAAAUAAAAUAAAGAUCUAAUGGUUCAGAUUGGUUUGGUUUUUAAUCCAAGGAUUAUGUUCUUGCUAGGUGAUGUCAUCUUUUUUAAAAUAGAAUUUAAUCCAAUGGUUGAGAUUAGUACAUGUUUUAAUCCAAGAGUUGAGAUUAGACUUACCAUUUGUACUGACGAAGUCGAAGACGACGCUACCAAAGCGUUGUGUCGGUGGCGAAGCAUUGCGUAUGUUAAAGGAGUCGUGACCCAUGGUUCGCAUCUCUUCCUCUGUUUAUAUUUGAUAACCAGUUUGCUAUUCCAUUUUUUUUCAUUUGUUUCCUUAUUCCUGAUUCAAUUGUUUUUAUCCUUUUUAUCCUGAUUCCUGAUCAUUGCAGUUACCAUUAACAUUCUCGAACAUUGGAGCUUGCCAUUAACAUUCUCGAUCAUUGGAGCUUCGUUUAUGAAGGUAAAUCUUCUGAAACUUUCCAUCUUUCUUGUGUGUUUAAAGUUAAUCACCUUCCCGAAUGAAUUUUGUGUUAUUGAGAACCAUUAUUGUGUUUGAUUAAUUGAGAACGAUUACUUUAUUUGAUUAAUUGAGAACAAUUACUCUUUAAUCAUCGUAUCUGUCUAUUUUCGGAUUGAAUUUUAUUUUUCUGUUUUCGUUUCUCUGUCUCUAUUUGUAUCUGUCUUUCACAAUUUCAUUGGUUUGGACUUUAGAGUUUCUGUAUAUAUAUAUCUCUGCCUUUUUCUCUGGUUUAAUCAAACGGUUGAUUCCAACAUAUGAGGUGAAGGGGCCGUUUGUUUCUCCAUCUGGAUGAAGAUGAGAUUUUGUUUGUUUAGACACUAAAAGUGCAAUUCAUUCAGAUGGAUCAUCCGGAUGACUUUCGGAAAUUUAGGCUUAAUUUUAAAGUCCAUCCAGCUGAACCAAUUUGGAUCAUUUGAAUGGAGAUGGUUCAUUCAAAAUAGUAUAAUGUCUAUUAUUCCCUUAAUGUAAUUCACAAAUUACAAAUCUAAACAUAAUAUCAUUUUGUCACACACGAAAACUGACAAAACCACAAAAAUGCGUUUUUCCGCAAAAAUCUAAAACUAAUUUUCCACGCCAAAACCCCAAAAACGCAUUUUCCCACAAAAAUCGCAAAACAUGUUUUCAUGUCAAAAUCACAAAAACAUGUACAUGUUUUCACGCCGAAACCCCAAAACGCAAUUUUUCGCCAAAACACAAAAACAUGUUUUCCCGCCAAAAUCGCAAAAAUGUGUUUUCCCGCCAAAAUUGCAAAAUCUCAUUUUUUCCGCCAAAAUCAAAAACGCGUUUUCACGCCAAAACUGAUACGCCCUAAAUCGGGAAGGAUCACUUUAGCUCGGUGUUGGAUAUGAUCCGAGAAGACAAAUGACACUUCUGGAACUGAAAUGGAUUGAAAGGAUCGUUAAGAGAUGCGGAAUGGCUCUUGAUAUACCCACGAUCUAAGGCUAGCCACCUAAGAAAGAAUGAAUGUGUUGGCUAACCACCAAAUAACACACAAAGAUGAAUUGGCUGACCACCAAAUCAACAAGCCGGUUCACACCAAUGAACUAGCUAAAGAACUCUCUCUCUCACUCAGAGAAGUAACAAAAAUAAACUCAAAAACAUGGACUGACCUUAUUCAUAAAUGAGUUUACAUAUUUAUACUAGAUGUGGUCCAAGAAAGACAUAAUUAUUUGUGGGAAUCACACAUCUAGGAAAUGAGAAAUUUGAUUAGAAAAUAAUAAAUGAAUCAAAGUUGCUGAGUUUGAGGUGGACUGGUCAAGGAGACCCUUCGACUACUGUCAAGGUUCAUUCUGGUCCAUGGUGGUAAGGAUCAAGACGUGGGCUUGAUGAUCCAUACGGCCCAAAUUCGCGAGAACUGAAGAUCACCGGUUUUGUAAAUUGCAUAACUCUUUCAUCUGAACUCCAUUUGAUCUGAUUCUUGUUCGAGGAGUUCCGUAAUUUAGUUGAGAACAUUCUUCAAGUGAUUUCAUGCGUAGAAGCCUCGACGUUUGGAAGAUAUGAGUCAAACAAUUAACAUAUAUCUUUACUGCUUCCAUGCUGGUUGGCUCCAACGGACUGAUCCACGAACCGGGACACAUCAUUCCCUUCCUCUUCAAAAAGAUUUAUCCUCAAAUCUGAAAUAUUUAAAGGAAAAGGAUUAUAAGCAAAAAAACCAUAAUCAACACAAUGCUCACCUUGAGUUCGGUCCAUUUUUUGAAUGGAAGAUGAUUCUUCUUGGUUGGCUUGAUGACCACAAAUUUGUUCUUCAUCUAGCAUUAUGAAAAUUAAAACAAAAUCAAACCCGCGCUUUCAAGCGCGGGUUAAAAUCUAGUUGUUUAUUAAAUUUUCCGGAUUGAAACGAAUCACAAAUAUAAAUAUUUGUUCGUGAACAGAUCAAAAGUAUUCUAAAAUUUUCGUAUAUUCGGGCCUAAUUAUAGUUUUGAAGUAGAACGGUCGUUCUCGUUGAAUAGCAACAUGACAUGGCUCAGGUAUAUAUCAUGCUUAUUAACAGUUUAAUUUUCUAAGAAAUCAUAAGUAUUUCUCAAAAAAUUAAUACUAAAUCUCUUCUUCUUUAAAAUUUUAGUUGCAAUCUCCUUCUGUAAUCUGUCUCUACCUUUUAAACGUUUGUUUUAAAAUGUUAUGGUUGUAAUGAUCAUUUGGUAGAUCGUAUCCAAAACGAAUUUGUAAUAUAAUUAAUUCGAUAGAGAGUUCUUUAUUUUUGUUCAUCUUUGAACUUUGAAUAUUACUGCUGUGACCAUGCAAAGUUGGCUGCAGAUGGUCCAUUUACGCAAUAAGAAAUUUUACAAAUGUUCAAAACUAUCGGCUUCUUUUAAUUAAACCCACUUACAGUCUGCUGUAACCACUAAUCUAUUUGUUGUUUGUGUGUUUAUAAUGAUUAUCAACGACAUUGUAUUGUUAUGUAUAUUAUAUGCAUAAACUAUAUUAUUUGCGAAGAAUAAACAAAGCAACAUAGAAUUUUACAUACAAAUACAUAUACAAAAUAGUCCACACACUAAUUAUAUAUGUAGUAAAUGAUAUUUAUAUAAUGUGUACAUGCGCCACAACAUUAGAAAACUUGUAAACUCUAAUUGUUUAUCAAAAAGUCAAAAGCCUUUUAAUACAAAAAAAAUCGAAUAGAAAACCAAAAUAGUUGUUUCGAAAUACAAAGCUGAAACAUAGCACAACUUCUAUAGUUAAUUCAGACAAGGAGAGGCUCAGAAGGCGUCUAUCUUCCUAACAAGGUAAACCCCAAACGUAUUUCCAGUUUAUAAUAAAUCAUUUUGUCUUUUUUUUUGUGUGGAAUAUAUCAAUAUUUCAGGUUUAAUAUCUCACAGAAUUAGAUCCAAACGGUGCUAAUAAACGCUUUUACACACCCACGCAAAAUAUGAAUUUAAGAACAGAAAAUGAAAUAGGCACAUUGAUUUAAUAGUUAUGAUUCAUCAACUGUUCAUCUCGUCAAAGAUUUGUCAUUUGUUCCUUCGUAGCAACCGUUAAUUGUUGUCACUGUUCUGUUUUUUUUUCUUUAGCUUUAGGUUGUUUCAUCUGUUGAAAUAGCUUAAACCUAAUCUAGGAAUCUAAGAGCAUUUUUACUCUCUUUUUUUUUUUUUGCAGUUUUUAGCUUCAAAUUUGUAUUUAUGCAGAUUGGAUACAAUUCUUUUUAAAUACUUUCAUUAACUAUUAAUGAUAUUUCCAUCUUUAGCAAAUAAAAAACUGUCAUUUUAUUUAUCUUUAUUAUGCAUGUCACAAAAUUAGUUUUGAAUAAUUAUGCUUUUUCAAAUAUAUUUUUCGUUGUAAAUUUAUAAAUACGUCACGGAUGUAAGUAUUAAAAAUAUGAUUUUAAAAGGUAAUUCUUUGCCGUCUUUGUUAUAUUCCAACAUAUACUCUAUUUGAAAAAUUCACAAUGUAAUAAUUUCAACUGCUGUACACAAUUAUUUUAGGUUGAAAAUUACAUAUGAGUUCUAUUCUUCUCCCUUUUAAUUGGUUUAGAAAGAAAAUGGGCGGCUGUUCAAAAAAAAGAAAGAGAAAGUGGGCUCAUGUUUAAAAUAAUAGGCGUAAGAACUAAGCCCAAACAUUACGUAGAAUAGAAGUCCAAAGUAAAGAUCAACAAGUCCUAGAGCACAACUAGAACAUGAUAAUAUUAUAAAAUGGUAAGUGAAAAGCUGAGGCAUCGGGAUUAUAAGAUCAUGCGCAAAGGCACCGCACGCGCACUUUCACAUACACAUUUGGAUGUAAGUGUGCUACUGUUUAGGGCCUGUCAUAUUUAACGGAGGCAAACUGUUGUGCUUCGGGAAAGAAAAUCAAAUUAAUUUGAUAAUGUAUGAAACUAUAUGGCCUUCUUUCUUACAUUUCUUGGAUCUCCCGCAUCUCUUACAGUAAUACUUCUAUGUUCCUUUGUUUUGUCUGUUCGUUGUCCCUCGCAAUAUAUUUAAUUGUUCGUAUCAACUAUUAAGUGGUCUCUAUUUACUUGUGAAUUAUAGUAUAGUACUUAGAAGAUUAACUUAUUUCUAAACAUUUAUUAGUUGCUUCAAGCGACAGCAUUCCCCCUCUCGUCAAUAGGAACAUAUGAUCACGCAUGCCAUUUUCUCGUUCACGAAUCACCGACAUACAAAUGUACUACUUCACCUGUCUUCGUGACAUAAUUCCAAUAUAUGUGCGGAUGUUUGGUUAAACAUUGGCAUACUCGCUUGGUGUUUUUAAAUUCACCAGUCUCUUUGUACAAAGUAAUCAUGUAAAUUAUAACUAAUUAUUAACAAUUUCAUAUCAUAAGAUAAAUGGAAAUAUACUGUAUCUAACAAGCUAUUGAGAAGUUAGAAAAACAUUUAGGGUACUUGCAUUAGUGAUCUUUGACCAUAACUUUUAACCAAAAAAAGAAAAAAAUCAACGAAGGAAAGUAUCUAUAUAUAAUAGCAAACCCAAAUUUUGUUUUCUAUGAUGUCAGCAUUUGUUUAUAGGAAAAUAAAAUAAAGAUCUAAUGGUUCAGAUUGGUUUGGUUUUUAAUCCAAGGAUUAUGUUCUUGCUAGGUGAUGUCAUCUUUUUUAAAAUAGAAUUUAAUCCAAUGGUUGAGAUUAGUACAUGUUUUAAUCCAAGAGUUGAGAUUAGACUUACCAUUUGUACUGACGAAGUCGAAGACGACGCUACCAAAGCGUUGUGUCGGUGGCGAAGCAUUGCGUAUGUUAAAGGAGUCGUGACCCAUGGUUCGCAUCUCUUCCUCUGUUUAUAUUUGAUAACCAGUUUGCUAUUCCAUUUUUUUUCAUUUGUUUCCUUAUUCCUGAUUCAAUUGUUUUUAUCCUUUUUAUCCUGAUUCCUGAUCAUUGCAGUUACCAUUAACAUUCUCGAACAUUGGAGCUUGCCAUUAACAUUCUCGAUCAUUGGAGCUUCGUUUAUGAAGGUAAAUCUUCUGAAACUUUCCAUCUUUCUUGUGUGUUUAAAGUUAAUCACCUUCCCGAAUGAAUUUUGUGUUAUUGAGAACCAUUAUUGUGUUUGAUUAAUUGAGAACGAUUACUUUAUUUGAUUAAUUGAGAACAAUUACUCUUUAAUCAUCGUAUCUGUCUAUUUUCGGAUUGAAUUUUAUUUUUCUGUUUUCGUUUCUCUGUCUCUAUUUGUAUCUGUCUUUCACAAUUUCAUUGGUUUGGACUUUAGAGUUUCUGUAUAUAUAUAUCUCUGCCUUUUUCUCUGGUUUAAUCAAACGGUUGAUUCCAACAUAUGAGGUGAAGGGGCCGUUUGUUUCUCCAUCUGGAUGAAGAUGAGAUUUUGUUUGUUUAGACACUAAAAGUGCAAUUCAUUCAGAUGGAUCAUCCGGAUGACUUUCGGAAAUUUAGGCUUAAUUUUAAAGUCCAUCCAGCUGAACCAAUUUGGAUCAUUUGAAUGGAGAUGGUUCAUUCAAAAUAGUAUAAUGUCUAUUAUUCCCUUAAUGUAAUUCACAAAUUACAAAUCUAAACAUAAUAUCAUUUUGUCACACACGAAAACUGACAAAACCACAAAAAUGCGUUUUUCCGCAAAAAUCUAAAACUAAUUUUCCACGCCAAAACCCCAAAAACGCAUUUUCCCACAAAAAUCGCAAAACAUGUUUUCAUGUCAAAAUCACAAAAACAUGUACAUGUUUUCACGCCGAAACCCCAAAACGCAAUUUUUCGCCAAAACACAAAAACAUGUUUUCCCGCCAAAAUCGCAAAAAUGUGUUUUCCCGCCAAAAUUGCAAAAUCUCAUUUUUUCCGCCAAAAUCAAAAACGCGUUUUCACGCCAAAACUGAUACGCCCUAAAUCGGGAAGGAUCACUUUAGCUCGGUGUUGGAUAUGAUCCGAGAAGACAAAUGACACUUCUGGAACUGAAAUGGAUUGAAAGGAUCGUUAAGAGAUGCGGAAUGGCUCUUGAUAUACCCACGAUCUAAGGCUAGCCACCUAAGAAAGAAUGAAUGUGUUGGCUAACCACCAAAUAACACACAAAGAUGAAUUGGCUGACCACCAAAUCAACAAGCCGGUUCACACCAAUGAACUAGCUAAAGAACUCUCUCUCUCACUCAGAGAAGUAACAAAAAUAAACUCAAAAACAUGGACUGACCUUAUUCAUAAAUGAGUUUACAUAUUUAUACUAGAUGUGGUCCAAGAAAGACAUAAUUAUUUGUGGGAAUCACACAUCUAGGAAAUGAGAAAUUUGAUUAGAAAAUAAUAAAUGAAUCAAAGUUGCUGAGUUUGAGGUGGACUGGUCAAGGAGACCCUUCGACUACUGUCAAGGUUCAUUCUGGUCCAUGGUGGUAAGGAUCAAGACGUGGGCUUGAUGAUCCAUACGGCCCAAAUUCGCGAGAACUGAAGAUCACCGGUUUUGUAAAUUGCAUAACUCUUUCAUCUGAACUCCAUUUGAUCUGAUUCUUGUUCGAGGAGUUCCGUAAUUUAGUUGAGAACAUUCUUCAAGUGAUUUCAUGCGUAGAAGCCUCGACGUUUGGAAGAUAUGAGUCAAACAAUUAACAUAUAUCUUUACUGCUUCCAUGCUGGUUGGCUCCAACGGACUGAUCCACGAACCGGGACACAUCAUUCCCUUCCUCUUCAAAAAGAUUUAUCCUCAAAUCUGAAAUAUUUAAAGGAAAAGGAUUAUAAGCAAAAAAACCAUAAUCAACACAAUGCUCACCUUGAGUUCGGUCCAUUUUUUGAAUGGAAGAUGAUUCUUCUUGGUUGGCUUGAUGACCACAAAUUUGUUCUUCAUCUAGCCCCUCCAUUGGCUCAUAUGUGAAGUCAUCGAAAAUUGGCAAUGGGUCUUCGUUUUCAGGCUCGGUUUCAACGUUCUCAUUCUCUUAAGUCACCAACGGUCUCAUUCUCCAAAGUCACCAACAGUAUUUGCUUUUGACACUUGUUAGCAUAAUGAUCGAUCCUAUGGUAUUUGAAGCACCUGGUAGAAUGAGCUUUGCUUGUGGGUUUCACAGCUUUGCUUUUAUCAGAAGACAACACAUUAGUUUUCAAAUCAGAAUUUGAAAGAGAAGAAAAAUUACUUUGCUGUUUUGGUGAAGGAGAAGUGUUGGUGUUUCCCUUCUUUUUGAGUUGCCGGAUAGCAUGAAUUGCCUUAAGCAACAUUUUCUCCAAGCUGACAUAAGUCAGAAGGUCAUUCUGAUCAAACACAUCACAGGUGCACAAAAUCAAACCCAUCAUUAGAAGCAAACUGUUUCUUAUUUCCAAAAAUCAUUUGCUCUUUUUCUAACACGAUUUUAAAAGGAAAGUAAACGUCUUGUUGUGGUUUUGAUUUCUUGAGAAGUCCAAACAUCCUAGAAAUGUGAUCACCUAAAUAUCGUGAGCUAAACACUUUGAGAGUGUGAGGAUUUUUAUUUGCUAACUCUUUUGUGGAUGAUAGGCAGUCAAAAUUCAGCAAUCAAAACCCAAAACAAACUUUUGUGCCAGAAAGAAAAGAGAAAGAAAGAUGAAGAGAUUUUUGAUAUGGAUCCACCUUAACUGUCAUAAGGCUGGGUUUGUCUUCAGCCAGUAGGGUUUCUCUUCCACCACCCCCCCCCCUCCCUGGAUUUCUCUUCAGAAGUGAUUCAAGCUAAAACUUUUUGUGUUUCCCUUCUUUUUGAGUUGCCGGAUAGCAUGAAUUGCCUUAAGCAACAUUUUCUCCAAGCUGACAUAAGUCAGAAGGUCAUUCUGAUCAAACACAUCACAGGUGCACAAAAUCAAACCCAUUAGAAGCAAAUUGUUUCUUAUUUCCAAAAAUCAUUUGCUCUUUUUCUAACACGAUUUUAAAAGGAAAGUAAACGUCUUGUUGUGGUUUUGAUUUCUUGAGAAGUCCAAACAUCCUAGAAAUGUGAUCACCUAAAUCUGGAACUGAAAUGGAUUGAAAGGAUCGUCAAGAGAUGCGGAAUGGCUCUUGAUAUACCCACGAUCUAAGGCUAACCACCUAAGAAAGAAUGAAUGUGUUGGCUAACCACCAAACAACACACAAAGAUGAAUUGGCUGACCACCAAAUCAACAAGCCGGUUCACACCAAUGAACUAGCUAAAGAACUCUCUAUCUCUCUCACUCAGAGAAGUAACAAAAAUAAACUCAAAAACAUAGACUGAUCUUAUUCAUAAAUGAGUUUACAUAUUUAUACUAGAUAUGGUCAAAGAAAGACAUAAUUAAUUGUGGGAAUCACACAUAUAGGAAUGAAAAUUUUGACUAGAAAUUAAUAAAUGAGUCAAAGUUGCUGAGUUUGAGGUGGACUGGUCAAGGAGACCCUUCGACUACUGUCCAGGUUCAUUCUGGUCGUUCUGGUCCAUGGUGGUAAGGAUCAAGACGUGGGUUUGACGAUCCGUACGGCCCAAAUUCGCGAGAACUGAAGAUCACCGGUUUUGUAAAUUGCAUAACUCUUUCAUCUGAACUCCAUUUGAUCUGAUUCUUGUUCGAGGAGUUCUGUAAUUGAGUUGAGAACAUUCUCCAAGUGCUUUCAUGCGUAAAAGCCUCGACGUUUGGAAGAUAUGAGUCAAACAAUGAACAUAUAUCUUUACUGCUUCCAUGCUGGUUGGCUCCAAUGGACUGAUCCACGAACCAGGACACAUCAAAAACCCCAAAAACGUGUUUUCCCGUAAAAACGCGUUUUUCCGCCAAAAUUGCAAAAUCCCGUCCGCCAAAAUUGCAAAAUCUCGUUUUUCCGCCAAAAUCGAAAAUUUUCAUUUUCCCGGCAAAACAAAAAAAAACAUAUUUUCCCGCCAAAACCGAAAAUUUCAUUUUCCCGCCAAAACGCUUUUUCCACCAAAACCCCAAAAAACGCGUGUUCCCGCCAAAAUCGAAAAAUCUUGUUUUCCCGUCAAAAUCGAAAAAUCUCAUUUUCCCGCUAAAACCGAAAAAUCUCGUUUUCCCGCAAAAAUCGCAAAAACGUAUUUUUCCGCCAAAACCGCAAAAACGCGCUUUUCCCGCCAAAAAAAAAAAUCCGCCAAAACCGAAAAAUGCGUUUUCCCGCUAAAACAAAACAAAUCUUGUUUUUCCGCCAAAACAAAAAAAAACUCGUUAAUUUUGAAAUAAUUGUAAUGUAAAUAUAUUAGACUAAAUAAUUAAAUGUAAUAUAGUUAAAAUUAAUAUCAAAUAUAUUAUUAAAUCAACACAAGGGUAUUUUGGUAAUUUGUUUACUAAACUCAUUUGGAUGGAAAUGAAAAUAAAAAAACAAACAUAACAUCUAUUUAGAUGAUUCAUCUAGAUGAAAUAUCUAGAUGGACAAACAAACAGUCACAAAAGUCUGAAUGGAUCAUCUGAAUAGAUCAUACAAAUGAAUCAUCUGGAUGGAGAUGACAAAUGAUGAAACAAACAACCCCGAAGUUGAACGGUUAAACAAGUCACCCAUGCGAUAGGGGUUUCUCUUUGUCACCCUUUCACUAUUUUGACGAUGCUAUUACGUGCGGUGACUGUGGUCAUGUCCAUCAGCGAGAUUCCAACUUCAAGAUUGAGGCUGAUAGUGUCUGUUUCAUCUGGUCUGUACCGAGGCUGGUUGUCAUGAUUGCUGCUAGACUUCGAAGUGGGGACAUCGUGAUUGUGAUUGCCUUCGUAUGUUGUUAUUAUAGCUUUUGGAUCAUGUGAUGUUUCUCCACGUGUUUUCUCACUGGGCAUCCACUUGUACGUAGUAGCUCCUACAAAAAGCCAAAGGAACAUUACGAAGCAUAAUAUUUUCCAUAUCCAAACCCAGUUCCAAAGGGAAUCACGAUUUUAUGCAAAAACCAAACAACUAGCCUUUGAAGACAAAGACUAAACUGUUCUAGCUAUCAUCUUGAACUACAAGUUUUUCUUGUGUAAGUUCACUUGAGAAGAAAGUGGUUUGUGGUUAUACGAAAUUUGGAUUUGGGUAUCCCCUUGGUAAUAUGUGGCGUAAGUAUGGGCAGAAAGUCGUAAGCUUUUUUGAUCAUAGGCUCAGAGUUUCAAAAACAACCCUAGGCUCCCGAAUAGGUUUCACAACUGGAGUUAUUUCCGUGGUCAAGUGAUAUCUUGCAUAUUUACAUUGUCUUAUCCAUUUAUUCAUGUGCAUUUUCAUCAUAUAGAUUAGGGUUUAUCCAUGUCUAGGUUGCAUUUUGCAUACAUAUGUCUCUAUUAGGUAUUGGAGUAUCACAUAGAGUUCCUGGAGACAUUUGGGCGCAUUUGGAGCUCGCCAGGUCGCUCGCGAAGAAACGACCCGGGAGCGACCUCUUGCAGCGACGUGCCGAGGUCGCUCCGCGUCUAUUUGUUUGGCCGAACUCAUGUUUUCUCAAGGGCCUUUUGGUCAUUUCAUUAUGCACGUUUUUUACUUUCUAAACCUAUGUUUUAUAUCUUUUGUAAGCCAUCAGUGGCCAGAGGAAUCUCUUUUUCUAGAGAACAACUAAAAAAACUUCUUUUGAUUCAGAUUUCAUUUGCUUUCAUCUUGUGUUCUUGUUGAUUUCUUAUCUAUUUCUCUACAUGAUUAAUCUGAAAUCCAAUAUGGGUUUAAGAGGAAUCAUGGAGAUUAGUGAGUAAUCACCUUUUGAAUUCAUGGGUUAGGGAGAUUAAGGGUGAUUAGGUUAGUUCUAGGAUGUUUUAGUGUAGAUCAUUCUUGUUCCUUGCUAGUAGAGUAUUCAUAAUGCAUCUUCUGAGUUGGCCACUCAAAAGUUGAUCAAUAGGCAUUUCCCACCCAAAAGGUGUUUGAUGAAAUGCCUGAGACAACUCUCCUAGGCUUUUAGUAUACUUUGCCAAAGACAUUUGUUGUUAAAGGUGCUAAGAUAGCUAAUAGACUUGUUAGUAAUGAUUGCUUUCAUAUUAUUCAACCAAAGACAUUUGAUGUUUGAGAUAUGUUAGCAAAUGAGCAUUCAUCUAGACAUAGAGCUUGCUUAGAAUUGUGUCUAGGCUUAAGGUUGAUAGUUUGAUUGAUCAUUUGCCAUCCUUAGUUCGAUACUUGAUCACCCAAGGUCUAAUCCCUAUGCCCAUGAGUUCUCUUUUCCCUUAGUCAAGAAAGUAUCAUUCUGUUAUUGCUUUCUAGUUUUAGUAAUAGCUUAAAACCCAUCUAAAUCAUUGGUUGCACUUAGAUUAAGUGAGUACUUGCAUUCUCAGUGCUUUGAUAUCCCUCAGAACUGGUUCGACAAUCACUAUACUACAACAUUUGUCUUAGGAGCCUUGAAAACUCCUAACAUCAAAUUGGCGCCGUUGCCAAAUUCUGAGUAGAUUUAAACAUUGAGAUUUAGUCACUUGCUUGAGACUAAGUCAUUUUAAUUUUGUUUUGUUACUGAUUCUUCUUCUUCACCUACCUUUCACUUUCAGGUGUAUGAACUUGAGGAGCAGGGGUCCAUCAAACCUAGUUCCAAUAGUAGCAGACAUCAGAGCUUUUGAGAGGGAGUGUGCUAGAGCUAGAAGAGAAGAAGAACACCAGGCCCACUUGGAUAUUGAUAUGGCAGAUCCACCGCAAGGGGCAGAACACCAACCGCGGGCAGCUCGACCCAUUGGCACUUACGACCGCCCCAACAUACAUGGUCACAGAUUCGGAAUCCGAGCACCAGCUGUGGCAGCCAACAACUUUGAGGUCAAGUCAGGACUCCUCAACGUGAUCGAGAACAACAAGUAUCAUGGCUUGGCUCUGGAGGACCCAUUUGAUCACUUGGAUAGGUUCGACAGCUACUGUGGGUUGUCAAAAACCAAUGGUGUGUCCGAAGAUGCCUUAAAGCUCAAGCUAUUCCCUUUCUCUUUGGGGGAUAAGGCACGUCAGUGGGAGAAGUCUCUACCCAGCGACUCUAUCACCACUUGGGAUGAGUGCAAGAGAGCAUUCUUGGAGAAAUUCUUCUCAUCCUCAAGAACUGCUAAGCUGAGAAAUGAGAUCUCCAGUUUCCAACAGAAGAACUUGGAAGGAUUCAGUGAAGCCUGGGAGAGAUUCAAGGGCUACCAAGCUCAAUGCCCACACCAUGGUUUCUCUAAGGAGAGCUUGCUGAGCACAUUCUACCGUGGUGCUCUUCCUAAGUACAGGGCCAGACUGGAUACAGCUAGCAAUGGGUUCUUCUUGGGGAGAACUGAGGAAGAUGCAGAGGAGCUGGUUGACAACAUGGUAAAGAGUGAUGCAGUCUACAGUGGAGACCACGACAGAAGCAGUCGAACAGAUGAUAAGCAGACGAGGAAGGAGUUGAAAGCUCUACAGGAUAAGAUAGACAUCCUCCUUGCUGAUAAAGCCACACAAGAGCAGCUGCACUUUGUUGGUAACCCAAGCCAAGAUACACCACCUGUUGUCCAUGAGGUUGAGGGUUUGGAAGGUCAGGAAGAGCUGUGUUUCAUCAACAACAAUGGUAGCUGGUACAAAAAAGAGCCCAACUUUCAGUACAACAACUACCAACAGAAAUCCUAUCCCAACAACCAACAGAGUGGUUAUCCGCCUCGAAACAACCAGCAAGGCAGCUAUCAACCUCAGCAAAACCCCUCAUCUGGUUCCUCUGCUCCUCAAGAGAGCAGCACUGACACCCUGCUGAAACAAAUCUUGGAGUCUCAGACUAGAAGUGAGAAGCAUGUUGGUUAUGAGUUGAAGAACCUUCAUUCCAAGAUUGAUGGGAGCUACAAUGAGCUCAACAACAAGUUCUCACAUCUUGCUUCUACAGUCAAGAAUUUAGAGAAUCAGUUUGCUUCCAUGAACACUCACCAGACUCGCCAGCAAGGAUCUCUACCUGGAAAAUCUGACCAAAACCCCAAGGAGGCCAAAGCUAUCACCCUUAGGAGUGGUAAGCAGUUACCUCCUACAACCCUCACCAGGGAUGCUGAGAAACUAGGUGAGGAGGUGGCCAUCAACUUAGAUGAUGAAGUGGUGAUUGUUGAUGAGAAAAUCAAUGAUGAAAUCUUGGAGAAGAUUGUGGAAGCCAAGGGUAAAGGAAAGGUUGGGGAAGAGAAGAAAACAGUGAAAGAUGGUGAAGUUCUUGCUCCAGCAAGUGAGAAUUCUUUUGUUCCUCCUCCCUAUGAACCCAAACUACCAUUCCCUGGUAGAUUCAAGAGGCAGCUGCUAGAGAAGUACAAGGCUUUGUUUGACAAGCAAAUGAGUGAAGCUCAGGUUGCAAUGCCCAUCAUCGAUGCUUUCAUGUUGAUUCCUCAAUACAACAAGUUCCUGAAAGAUGUUGUAGCUGCAAAGAAGAAGGAAAUGGAAAGCAUGAUGAUUCUUACCCAUGAGUGCAGUGCCAUCAUCCAAAGGCUUGAUGUUCCAGAGAAGUUAGAGGAUCCAGGAUGCUUCACACUACCUUGUGCUCUUGGACCUAUGGUAUUUGAGAAAUGUCUCUGCGAUUUGGGAGCUAGUGUCAGCGUGAUGCCUUUGUCUGUUGCAAAGAAGCUUGGAUUCACUCAGUACAAGAAGUGUAGACUCUCUCUGGUGUUAGCUGAUCGUUCAGUGAAGUACCCUGUGGGCAUCUUAGAGGACCUACCUGUGAAGAUUGGAAGGUAUGAGAUACCUACAGAUUUUGUGGUGCUUGAGAUGGGUGAGGAGGCUCAAGACCCAUUGAUUCUUGGAAGGCCAUUCUUAGCUACAGCAGGAGCAAUUGUUAAGGUGAAAGAGGGCACGAUUGAUCUCCAUUUGGGUAAAGGGCAUGUUCUCCACUUUGACAUCAAGGAGAAAAUGAAGAAACCAACUGUGUUCGGGCAAGCCUUCUACAUUGAAGAGAUGGGCACUCUUACUGAUGAGCACCUUGAAGAGUUACCACCUGAGGACGACGAGGAGGGAGCAUCUCCCUCUACUCAUUCUCCAUAGAAGGUAACCCACUACUUUCCCUUGUAUAUACCAUUUCGUUUUUGCAUAUUAGUUUUCUCUUUUUGGGUAUCUCUCUCUCCUUGACAACACAGAGACUGUGUCAUUUAAGUUUGGGGAAGGUACCAAGUAUUUGAUCACGUUUGCUUUGAUGAUUUUGAGUCUCAUGCCUUGCAUUAUACAUAUAUAUUUAGCUUGCUACAUUAGGCACUCUAUUGUCUAGCUAUAGGUGGGGGUGAGUGUGGUGACUAUGAUUUGGAAGCAUGAAAAGUUCGAAGGAAAAGAAUAUACUCUUUGUGUUUAAAUGGAUAAUCUUAUUGGAACUAAUAGAUAAACGUCUAGCUCGAUUUGUGAAAAGUCUUGGCCCCCAAACAAAAAAAAAGAAGAAAGAAAAGGGGGCUAGCAAAGUUGUUUAGAGCUAAGAUUUGUUUAGAAGUUAAGAAAAUCUUUUAUAGAUUUCAAAGAAAUAAAGUUUUAUGUGCAAAGUAUUCUUGGGAUCUUUUGGUGAGAGAUGGGAGUUGGAUUUGACAUUAUGAAGUGAUUGUGAAACUUGUAUGUUUAGGAAAAGGGUAGACCAAUAGAGAUUGAGCAUUGUAAGCAUGAGUUGGUCUCUUUCUUAGAUAUAUUAUGUGCAAUGUCAAGGCUACUUGUUUUGAGAGUAAACCACUUUAAAAGAUCAUGGAUUUUAAACCUCUUAACCCACUUGAAUAAAAGCAUUCCCUUACUCAAUCAAAUGAUUUGGACCAGUUGACCAUUUGCAAGAAUUCACUUGAUGUUUUAUGCUUAAUGAAUGUGAGAGUUGGUUGAUUUGCAUGUGUGAAUGCAUGAUGAUGAGUGUAGGGAUGAAAAGAGUUGAGAUAGGCCUAGAGAAGCUAGAGUAUAAUAAGAGAGGGUGUACUAAUGCUGAAUUUAGAUGUUGAUUUGAGUGUUUUGUGUGUUUCUUUUGGCUAUGAGUUCCCACCUUCAAACCUUUCUCCCUAUGAGUUCUAGAAAGUUCACUUGUGGACAAGAAAAAAACAAGUUUGGGGGAGUUGAUAUCUUGCAUAUUUACAUUGUUUUAUCCAUUUAUUCAUGUGCAUUUUCGUCAUAUAGAUUAGGACUUAGCCAUGUCUAGGUUGCAUUUUGCAUGCAUAUGUCUCUAUCAGGUAUUUGAGUACCACAUGGAGUUUCUGGAGACAUUUGGGUGCAUUUGGAGCUCAAAAGGAGGUGAUUAGAGUGAUCUUUGGACGAGCACUGCCGGAGCGACCUCUCGGAGCGACGGCAUGAGGUCGCUGUGCACCACAUCCCGGAGCGACUCAUCCAGAGCGACUGCACAAGGUCGCUCGCGUUUUCACGUCUGGAGACACACAUUUACACCUCGGAGCGACCUUCCAGAGCGACGUGCUGAAGUCGCUCCCGAAGCUCAGAGCGACCAUACCAGAGCGACAGGGAGAAGUCGCUCGCGUUUUCAUCACCCGGAGACGCGAGAACGAGCCCGGAGCGACCUCUCGCAGCGACACAGCGAGGUCGCUCCCGAAGCCUGGAGCGACUUGUCGGAGCGACGGGCUGAGGUCGCUCCGUGUUUUGUUUCUGCUCGAACUUGUGAUUUCUCAAGGGCAUUUUGGUCAUUUCAUUAUGCACGUUUUUAUUUUCUAAACCUAUGUUUUAUUACUCUGUAAGCCACCAGGAGGCAGAUCAUCUUUGUUCUUAGAAAAACCACCAAAAACCUUUGGAAAGGGAUCUUUUUGAAUGAAUUGAUCAGUUUAUUAUUGAAAUUCUGUGUUCCUUUUAUUUCCUGUAUUUCUCUACAUGAUUAAUCUGAAAUCCAACAUGGGUUUAAGAGGGAUCAUGGAGAUUAGUGAGUAAUCACCUUUUGAAUUCAUGGGUUAGGGAGAUUAAGGGUGAUUAGGUUAGUUCUAGGAUGUUUUAGUGUAGAUCAUUCUUGUUCCUUGCUAGUAGAGUAUUCAUAAUGCAUCUUCUGAGUUGGCCACUCAAAAGUUGAUCUUUAGGCAUUUCCCACCCACAAGGUGUUUGAUGAAAUGCCUGAGACAACUCUCCUAAGCUUUUAACAUACUUUACCAAAGACAUUUGUUGUUAAAGGUGUUAAGAUAGCCAAUAGACUUGUUAGUAAUGAUUGCUUUCAUAUUAUUCAACCAAAGACAUUUGAUGUUUGAGAUAUGUUAGCAAAUGAGCAUUCAUCUAGACAUAGAGCUUGUUUAAGAUUGUGUCUAAGCUUAAGGUUGAUAGUUUGAUUGAUCGUUUGCCAUCCUUAGUUCGAAACUUGAUCACCCAAGGUCUAAUCCCAAUGCCCAUGAGUUCUCUUUUCCAUUAGUAAAGAAAGUCAUUUCAUUUAUCAUUAAUCAUUAGUUUAGAAACCUCUUAAAUUAUCGGUUGCACUUAGAUUAAGUGAGUACUUGCAUUCUCGGUGCUUUGAUAUCCCUCAGAACUGGUUCGACAAUCUUUUAUACUUCAACAUUUGUUUUAGGAGCCUUGAAAACUCCUAACAUCAAUAAGUAAGAAACACUUAGCGGAAGUGCUACAGAGCAAAUUGCAAACAUCGUUCCAAAACCCGUUAACAAAUCCUUGUUAAACCGUUUCAUAAGACCGUUUUUCAAUCCGAUCAACCGCUUUAGAUAGAAAGCGAUUUAGAGUUAAGAUUGUAAAAGCCGGAUAACUGGACUGAAAUAAACGAUAUAAUAAAAGCGAUAUGUUAAGAAAAUAAACGAUUGUAAAGAGAGAAUACAAGAACGAUAAGAAAUCGUAUUCGCUAAUGAACAUGGAGUCGAGAUAUAAUCUCUUUCCUUAACUCUAAAUAUUCGCUCCGUUAGUGAGACGGAACUGUACGAAUACCGAGUCCCAGGAUACAACCAUGGCAGACAAAUCACGCUUCACUCGUGAUCGCCCUAUCGAACUAUAAACUCUACGAAACACUCUCGUAUUUAAGACUUACGCUAAGGGAAUUUUUGCUGUUGGUUUCGAUGUGAAAAAGUUAAGAAAUGAAUGAAGAGGAGGCGGAUAUUUAAAGGAGAGAACCGGAUUUGAUUUUCGAAACUGUUGCACACGUUUAGCGAAAAUAUCUCUGAAAUCUCGGGAGUGGAGAGUUGAGAAACUUUCUCCGCAAGAUCUCUCUUCUGUUGACUCGUUCUGAUACAUUUCGAACAGACAAACUUCGUGUCGUUUUUAGACAAACUACGCGUCGUUUAUUCACGAACGUCAUUCAGUUUUUUAGAAAUGAAAUGAAAAAAAUGUAGUGCUUAACUUGGUCCAAAAAGAAUAUUCUUAUUGGGACCCAGAACCCACGCCGAGCCGAGCCGAGCCGGCCGUUUAACAACUCAUAACACAUGAGCAUAUAUAUAUUGCUCAUCUCCUCUCUACUUCCCCGAUGUGGGAUGUUCUUAAGUUUCAUUCAUUUAACCCAACCAAGAUUUUUCGAUGUGAUCUGUAGGCCCAUUUGUAUUCACCUUAUACCUUUUAUUAAUUCAGCCAUUAGGCUAUAAUAUUAGGCCCAACAUAAAUUAUGUAGAAUAAAAAGCAAAUGACACAGCCUUGCAUUGCAAUUAUACGAAAAAAUUUAUCAUAUAAAACUGGUUUCGGUAGAAAUGAUACUAUUUGUUAUGGAUCAAAGGAAUAAGUAGGCAAUGACGUACGUAACGUACUUAUGUGAUUUUCGAAUAAUUUAAUCUUUCUUUUUUUUGAUAAGUAUAUGAAUUUCAUUAAAAUGAAGCAGAUUGUACUUGUACAAGGUUAAAAGCAGUUAAACCAAUCAUUGCCAAAAAAAGAGGAAAAAACAACGAUAGGUUUAUAGUUAGUAGGCAAGCUACCAACAGCAAGAAAUUAUGAAAAUUUCAGCCACUGCCCUAGCAAAGUUCGAAAUUUCUUUCUGGACUUCCUUGCUAGGAUAGCUUGGCGGACUGUUUUGUCUAUGCUCCUGAAUGCUGCUUGAGGAGUGGCGGUUGGUGAGGCGUGAAGCCUUGCGUUUCUCUCAUACCAGAUUCUGUAGAUGGUCGCUUGAAUUACCAAGAGACGAAGAGUUACAGAGCUUGUGUUGUCCCUGAUGACUGACCAUUCAAGUAGAGCUGUCCAAGUGUGGAACAAGACAGGUCUGUAUCCAAGUCUUUUUAGAACUAAUCUCCAUAUCUGCUCACUGUAAUCACAACGCAGGAAAGUAUGGUCUCGGGUUUCUGUGAAACUCUGACAGAUACAACAAGAUGUGUCUAGCUGCUGACCCCAUGAAGCAAUGCGGGAUCUUGUCGGAAGCCGGUCCAAUUGAGCGACCCACAUCAGGAAAGCAUGACUUGGAAUAUGACCGCUGUACCAGAUUUUAUGUUCCCAUCCUUGAGUAGUUCCAUGGUGUCUAAGCGAAUCCCAAGUUAGACGUGUAGAGUAAGCCUCGCUGGUGUCAUCACCAACCUGCCAAACAUAGUGAUCAGGAACAGAUGACAUGGAAGGCAGUGGAAUAUUGCAAAGCAUUAAAUGGAUUUGUUCGGCUUCAGCAGAUCUAGCAGGUCUGAUCCUCCAUCCCAACGAUGAGCAGGCGGAGCUCACUGUUGCUAAUAGCGGAACUCCAAGUUGUCUAGGCCCCGAAGGCCCUGUUAUCUUUAUGAGAGGCCCUAUGGAGGACCAGUUAUCAAACCAGAAACUUGCCUUCAUCCCAUUGCCAAGGACACAUCUUAGAAACUGUUCAGCAAGAGGCCUAAGUUUAAGGAUUGAUUUCCAUAUCCAUGAUGACUGUUUUUCCUCAUCAAUGCUCCAAAAAUUCUGACCAUUUAAACGAUGCACUUUCGUCCAAAGAGCCCACAGUGAUUCAGAAUCGGCAAAAAGCAGCCAGAUCAGUUUUAGAUAUAGAGUCUUGUUCCACAUACUCAGUUCACGAAGACCAAGUCCUCCUUCAGACUUGGGAAGACAAACUGAUGUCCAAGAUACUUUAGCUGCUGCCCUUUCGGUUAUGUUUCCAUUCCAAAGAAAUCUGCUGCACAGCGAUUCAAUUGUUUUAACACAACCUUUAGGAAGGAGGAAGGUGGAGAACCAGAAGUUAAUUGUUCCAUGAAUGACUGAGGAUAAUAAUUCUCUUCUUCCGCGCCUUCAGUUGGUCAAUUAAGGCCUAUAAUCACAGAUUCUGAGCUUGCGGUGCAUCAGAGGAAGACCUAGGUAUCUCACAGGCAGCAAGCCAAGAGAAAAACCCAAACCAGUAAGGUCACAAGUUUCUGUCUGACUCAGACCCGCAACAUAGAGCUCUGUUUUACUCAAGUUCAUUGAGAGACCCGACCAUUCAGAAAAUCUAUCCAGCGUAAGAGAGAUGUUAUUGAGCGACGACACCUGCCCAUCAAAAAAGAUCAUUACAUCAUCUGCAAAGGCCAGGUGAGUGACUGGCGGAUUGGAGGCAGCCGGAUGGUAGCCGAUCAGACCUGUCCUAUAGCUCGAAUUCAACAUCUGAGCAAGAACCUCCAUUGCUAGUACAAAUAAGUAGGGAGAUAGGGGAUCACCCUGUCUCAAGCCUUUCGUUCCUUUGAAAUAACCUCCUAACUCCCCAUUAACAGCCACAGAAAAUCUGGUAGUUGUAAUGCAUUGACUGAUCAGAUUUAUAAAAUAGGGAGGCAGGCCCAAAGCUUCUAGAAUGGUAAUAAUGAAGCUCCAGUUAAGGGAAUCAAAAGCUUUUUUGAGAUCCACUUUUAGCAUUGAGCGUUUGGAUAUGUUCUUCCAGUUAUAUCCUUGUACCAGCUCUGUAGCCAUCAACACAUUCUCAAGUAGUAACCUGCUCGGAAUGAACGCAGAUUGUAUUGGAGAUGACAUCAGGUAGGAUCUGCUUCAGGCGCUUGGCAAGAAGCUUUGCGAUUACCUUAUACACAGUGUUGCAACAAGAUAUGGGUCGAAAAUCAGUGAUCUUUACUGCGCUUUGCUUCUUUGGGAUAAGCGUGAGGAUAGUUGCAUUCCAUUGCUGAAGUAGCUUACCUGAAGUGAAGAACUCUGUCACUGCGUUAAUCAGAUCAGUACCAACAAUAUUCCAGUUUGCCGUAAAGAACUCAGCCGGGUAUCCAUCGGGACCCGGUGACUUAUUUCUCGGGAGGGAGAAGAAGGUCUGUUUAAUCUCUUCACGGGAAAAAGGAGCUGCAAGACUGUCAAAACUAGCUGGUGGGCACUGAUAACUUAUUAGAGAGGCAAUCUCAUUAGUAGAGACAGUAGUUUGGAAGCUGGUCCCACCGAGAAGUUGCUCAAAGAAAGCUACCGCGUGCUGCAUAAUUUCCUCUCUUGUCUCCAAGAUACCAUCGUUCUCGUCGAAGAGAAGAAUUAUUUGAUUCUGGGAAAGCCUAGAACGGAUUGAACGAUGGAAGAACGCAUAGCCCAUAUCACCUUUGUCUAUCCAAUUAACUCUUGACCGUUGAUAGAGGAAGGACUCCUCAGUUUUAGCAAGAACCGCCCAUUUGGCGUGAGCUUUCCUUUCGUCUGCUGCAGCUUGAGGAGAUGGGUAAUUGAACAGAGUGUUCUGAGUUGGAUAAGGUCACCCAAAGCUUCGUGAACCCGUUUCUCUAUGCCUGAGUAGUUGUCUCGACUAAACGUACGGAUGAUGCUCUUGAGUUCCUUUAGCUUUUUUGAGAUUUUAAACAUAGCAGAACCACAGAACUGCAGAGAAUCCCAGCACUCCUUUAGCAAGAUUACAAAUUCCGGAUUAUCAUUCAACAAACUAAAAAACUUGAAGGGUUUCUUUGGCUUAGGCUUCAGAUAGUCCAAGAAGACACAACAGGGGGUAUGAUCAGAUAUCCCUGAAUCCCCAAAUACUCCCAGAGAAUUUGGAAAGGCAUUAAGCCAUUCAUCAUUGACAAGAAUCCUAUCCAAUUUCUUUGAGAUGAUAGAGGAGCCUUGAUUAUUCGUCCAGGUAAAAGCGUUGCCACAGAAUUGAAGGUCCGAGAGAGAAGUAGUGGCCAGACAUUGAUUGAAUUCACGCAUACCUCUGGAAGAAGAAAAUCCACUAGAUCUAGAAUGCUCAGAAGCAAAUCUGACUUGAUUAAAAUCACCGAGAAUCAGCCAUGGCAUCCCCGAAGAACACGAAGAUGAAGAAAGAAAUACCAGUUCAGACCACAGCUCACGCCUCAUUUUCCGACAAUUAGAGCCAUAUACAAACGUCACCAGAAACUCUGUCGAAACGAAGGGAAGUCUGACUUUGCAAGUGAUAGACUGCAACGACUUAUGGAGAAUCGAGACAGUCACAGAAGGGUUCCAGAUGACCCAAAUUUUUCCCAAAUCCGAGAAUUCGUAGUUACAAUCAUACCGCCAACCUGAGAAGGUCCUACCAAUGAUAGAAGGAGCCUUCACACUACUGACAUGGGUCUCAACGAGACCACCAAAAAUAGGGUUAUUACUCCUCAUCCAUUUCCUAAAUCCGCGACGUUUUAUUUUAUCAUUAAACCCUCUAACGUUCCAACAAAAAAUAUCCAUAGAGGGGGAAUUAUCCAUAGAAAUGAAAAAUUUAGAGGUUUAAAGGGCCUCCAGCCCUAGCAGCAGCUCUAAGCAGUUUCUUCUUUCUGUUCGAAAUCACUGUUGUGUAAUGCUCUCGGUCCUCAUCCAGAGUGUCCUCAUCGUUAGUUAAACUUUCAGGUUCAGAUUCUGACUCUGAGGUAAUAGAAGGAGAAACAGAGCAUUUCCUAUUGCUAUCAAAGAGACUAGCUUUCAGGUCAAUACAGAACUUAUCCUUGUCUUGAUCAGAUAAGGGAUGUUGAGAUGAAAUAGGUAGUGACUUAGAGUUUCUUCUCGAACCCAAGGGGGGAUCCAAGUUUAUUCCUUCCUUGGGUAGUUGCAUAACAUUGUUUGUUCUGACCCAUUGUGAGGAGGUCUUCUUAACUGAUGAGUGCUUCUUCCGGAGGUCCUCUGAACUAACACGAGCGGGAGGGUUGCCUGACCCUGUGACAAUCAGAAGUUGGCUAUGGAUAGGUGCCUUCCCUUUACGUUUUUCAGAGCGUUUGUCUGCGUUGUUUUUCGGACAAGAAUUUAUGUCAUGCUUCACGGAGUUGCAGGCCGGACAUUUAGCAAAUUGUGUGGCCAACUUUCUUACAGUGACUGCAUAGGGAUGGAAGCCAAGGACACGAAACCAAUAUACGGAAGAUCUCGCCUGAUUCGAAUUGAGCAUUCACCGCUUCAGGGAGAGGCUUGCGAGGAUCAAUCACAGUAUAGACCUUUGCCACUUCAAUGUUUGUAAGGUUAAUUGUUGACGGGUGCACGUAUAGCGGGUGACCUACCAGACCUGCAAUCUCUUUGAGGGCAUCUUGAUUGAAGAACUGAAGUGGAACUCCAGUGAAGUCCAACCAAACCGGAACAGUUGAGAGAGAUGGUUUCUCAGGCUUUGUUCCUGGUGACCAUUUAGCAACAAACAUCGUUUGCCCUUCCACUUGCCAUAGGCACUGACCCAAGAUACGUCUACGGGUAUUGGGACAAGGAACACGAAAGAGGAAUGCAUUACCCUCCAUUUUCGAGACAGAUAUGUCCCGACGCUGCUUGCUCCACAUACCAUUGACGAUAGCGUGGACUGCUCCCCUUGCUGGCGCGUCCUCGUAGAAUUGACCAAUGAUGAAGCUAUCCCAUGACUUGCGGUUCUUCGAUGAUCGAGUUAGGGAUUCGUACACAGGCUUCUCCAGAAGCUAGUGUAAACGGAGUUUCAACUGGUUCCAAGUUAACAGAUGCAGCCUUAACUUUGUCUCUCCACACAGUUGAUUGAAGCUUAGCCUCAUUCUGGGGAGGGUUUGUUUCUGGUACCGGUGGAGUUAGGGUAACCAUUUGCUCCUGGCCAGUCAAAGUGUUGUUGUUUUCAUCCGCCAUGGCAGAUGGAGACUUCUCGUGGCAAGAUAGAGCUUGUGUAUCACCACACUCUAUAGCCAAAGGAUGUUUUAAAGGGGAUUCGACCGUCUCGGGUUCCGAGUCCAAAAUAGGAGGUUCAGAUCUGGGAGGAUCCGAAGCUUGCUGGUCCUGCUUUGGUUCAGACACCGGGAGAGACGAAUUAUCAGGAGGAGGAAGGACCUCCGAAGAGGAGACUUUGUUGGCGGUUAGGUCAACAGACGCAGGUGCCGAUUGAGCGGAGGAACGGAGAGAAGAAGAGUUAGUUGAGCCAGCGGGGCUACAACCUGGGGAAUGCGAUUUGGGCUUCUUUUUCUUAGCCAUUGACGGUGGGGAGGGGCACCGGCGCCGUGAGAGACGACGGUGAAGGUUAAAUGAAUGGCUUCGCGUUGUCGCUUUUUGGGAAACUAUUUCAGGCGCGUGAGGCGCGUCUUGUAAAAAACAUAUUUGAGGGUUACCUCGAAUAACUUAAUCUUAAUAUGGGUCUUUAGGCAUUGAUAAUUUUAUAGUCCGUGUUACAAUAUUUAUCAAAAAAUUAAAUAUAUUUUAAAAUAUGAAAAUAGUCUCUGGUUGAUUGAAGACACUAAAGCAAAUAUAUAAUAAUUAGCACCCAAUUCAUCUUGGAAAAUAAUUAGAUCUUACGUUGAGUCUGCAGUACGUCAAUGUUAGCCAGUCCAUAGACCAGCUCAUCAAAAUGUUUGUGUAAGAAAAAUAAGAGUAUACUAGAACUUAACCCGCGCGGGGGCGCGGGUGUUGGAUUUAAUUUGUGCUCAAUAUAAAUUCAAGAACCGCUGAUUUUAUAAAAAAUAAAAUUCAUGUAUAUUUUUUAUGUUUUGUAGUUUACAUAUAUAAAGUAGAAUAUAUUAUUUUAUAAUAUAGAUGUUUAAUAAUAAAAAAUUUUAUUUGUACAUAAUAUUAUAUUUUUAUUAUAACUUAAUACAAAUUCAUAUAUUAACCUAUGUUUUUUUUUGUUAAUUUAUUUUCAAAUGAAAAAAACAUACCUAAAUUUUUAAUUUUUGCAUUAGUUUUCUAUGAAUUAUUAUUAAUUUUAUGAGAUUUUGUUUUAUUGAAAAUUGAACUCUCGGAAUUUGUAUAUUUGACUAAACUAAAUAAAGUAAUACUAUAUUUAAUAUUCUUUUAUAUAAUAUAUACUAUAUAUUUCAGUUUAUGUUUUUAUUUUCACCAUAAAGAAACAACAACCAUUGUAAUUAAUUAAUUAAAUUUAUUUUAAAUGUAGUGGGAGAAUCUGUAAAUAAAAAAUACAAAAAGUAAAUACGUAAUUUAUUAUAAAUGCAAUGGCUACAUGUGUAAAUAAAAUGAAGUAAUUAAUAUGUUAUUCAUGUUUCCAAACAAUUAUCAUUUAUCUUUUUUUAUCCAUGUUUCCAAACGUAACCAAAAGGUACUUCAGUUCUAAUAAUAUAGAUAUGUAUUUUUUUGUCAAGAAUAAUAGACGCUUUUUAAAAAUAAUCUUUCAAGAAAAAUAGUCUUUUAUUAUUCAAUUAAUUAUUAAAUUAAUUUCUUUUAAUGCUAACACCCAGCAAAGCCGCAAUUUCAAUUUAUAUGCCAACAUUUUAUAUGAGUGUAUGAUAACUUGAUAAUUCAGAUGGAAUAGUACUAAGUGAUAUAAUCUCAUACCAAUUAAUUUACCAUCUCUUGUUAUCUAAAUACAUAUAGUUACAUGUUUUUUACAUACUCUAGUUAUCCAACAUCCCUUGCUAAAAAAAAACUGUUUUUAGGAAUGGUUGAUAGCUCAUACUUGCACAAGAUAUUCAACCCAAAAACAAAAAAGGGUACAGGAUGUGAAAGAACAAAUAUGUACGAGGUGUUAGAGCAUUUCAAAUGAUACACAAUAAUUUUCUCUAUAUUUCAUUUUAAAAUAGAGUAACACUAUUAUAGAGUUGGAUUUGUUUCAAUAAUUCACUCUAUGACUAUAAUAAAGUUACUUUAUAAAGUGAAAUAUAGAGUAAUGUUAUUUUUUUUAUUCUAAAAAAUCAACAUUACCCUAUAUUGCAUUCUUUUAUAGGGUAACUCUUUUUUAGAGUGAAAUAUUUGAGUAAAUUCAACUUUAUAAUAUAGUUAUUUUAUUUUAGAAUAAAAUAUAGAGAAAAUAUGUAAACAACCCAAAAAAAAAUGUGUAAACAACCCAAAAAAAAGUACAAGAUGUUAGCAAGAGAACAAAUAUGUACAAGGUGUUACUACUGAACAAAUGUGUAAACAAAGCUGAUUAUUCUAUUUAGCUAACGUGGCCGAAACAAUUGGUUUUUGAUUGAAUUGAUUGGGCCGUCAGACUAACUGAUAAUACAAUAUAUUUAUUUACAGGUUUUUAAAGAAACAAAAAAGCCUCAAGUAAACAUGGCAUUUACAUUGGCACUGAUUAGUAAUCUUGCGGAAUGGCGGAAUGUUGUCUUAAAUGUGAUUCCGUAAAUAUAUUACCAGUCAACAAAAUUUGCGAAAAAACGCAAAAUGCAAGUUUUCAGCAAAAAUACAGAUAAAUUUUUAUUAAGUGGAAAAGUAAGUUUUAGUUGAUUAUUUACAAAAUCAACACUUUCAUAUUAUUAAAUAGAUAACAAUUAGAACAUAUUGAAAAAUUAGCUAAAUAUUUAUAAUAAGAACUAAAAUAUUUUUAUUAAAUUCUAGUUAUUUUAACUUUUUUAAUAAUUACUUUAAUUAUUGAUAUUUGUAAUUUCUUAUAACAAAGUAAUACCCUAUGAAAUAUUUUAAUCAAUUUAAUAUAUAUUCUUUUAUUCUGUAAAUUUUAAAUUUUCCGUACUUUAGUUAAUUUUUCUGCAUCUUAAUUAUUUUUUUCUACGAUUCCAAUUAUUUAUCUGCGUUCUAACUUCUCAGUAUGCAGAUUAAAACCGUUUUUGUUUAUAAAAAACACGUUAGGUGGAUUCGAAAGAUUCGGAUAUAUACACGUUUAACUUCGCAAUAGGUAUAGUUAAGAGUUCCGAGAAAUCCGUAUAGUAAAGUGCCCAUGAAAAACUAUGCAUGUAGUCAUAUUUCCACCUUCAUAUCAUCAACUGCAAAAUUGCUGGAAUUAAUUAUCAAGAUGUGAGAUAAUAUUUAGUACAUGCAUUAUUGUUGUUAUAGAAAUGAUUGGAUCAGAAAGUCAUCAAAUCGUCGUUUCGGAGCAGUGGAAGAAAUAUGUGUGAAUGUAUCUCCAAUGAUUAGGACUGUGGAAUUCAAUGACACCACCGAUACAUCACAUGAAUCCCCUGUUCGAAAACGCGGCCACCUAAGCGUUGUUCAGAGGUUGAUCGCAGUGAUUAUACCCAAAAUUGGUGUAGUCAGGCGUUGACCUGCGUAAGACCGCCUAAUUUCUGCGUUGACCGCCUAAUCCCGCGUUGACCGCUUAAAUUUUUUUUUUCCGUUCGUGUAAGUUAAAACACGGUUGAUUAUUUUUUACUUUUUAUUGACAGAUUUUGUGUAAUUAUUCAUUACUAAAUAAUUAUAAUUAGCUGUCAAACCUAAAAUAAACACAUACAUACUACAUUUAGGGAUUUUUUUCGUACCAAAUCCACCUUUUACAAAUCAAAAAGACACUGUUUAAAAUUAUAUAUAAAAAAUUAUAUAAUCAUGUAUAUGAACUUGUAUCAUCAUGUUUAAAAUUAGCUAAAUAUAUUAUAAAUAUAUUAAAUUAUAUUUAAAACUAGGUCCCGCAUAAUUUUCGAGUACUCCCCGAUUUUUCGGUAACUCGUUAGGUCCGGAGUUACCCGACUAGCGCCUAGCGUAGUUCCAAACAUGGCAUGAAUCACACGUAGUAUCUGAACCGCAGUACUGUAUAUUCACAAUAACAUUCAUUAUCAAACCCUUAAUAAUAAUAUAGAGUUGUACAUAUAAAAAUCAGAUUUAGUAUGGACGUAUAUGGCUAAGUUUUCGAACCACUUGAAUCAAACAACUGCUAAGUAAUCAUUGGAUGAGAUCAUCUGCAGUCAUCGAGAUCCUUCAUUAUUACUUCCUCGGUUUCAUACUAGUUGUCUUUGUAUACUUUAAAAUUUGUUUCAUUUAUAUAUUUGUCAAAUUUUCCAAUUUUCAAUUAUAUUUUCAAUUCAUAUAUUUGUCAAAUUUUCCAAUUUUAUCUCUAUUCUCCUACUUCAUUAAUUAUCAAAUACAAAUAAGCUAAAUGCAUUAAAUAUGGGUAUAAUUAGAAAAUUUAAUUGUUUCCUUAAUAGUAUAAGUGAAAAAACUUUAAACUGAAACGGAGAGAAUACUAUUGUUUUGAAACUUGAUCAUUCAUUAUUAUUGAGAAAUAAAAGGUUUGUUAACUAAAGGAUUUCAUUUUGGAGUUGGAUGAUCCCUCUCCUUUAACAAAACAGAAGAAAGACAAAAGUCAAAGUUAUAUAGAGGUACCAUCAGACUGGACUCCCAAGUCCUAACCAACCAUCGUGUUAAGCCAUAAGUGAUUCGUAAUGAUGGAUCGUUAAUUCUCCGGGUUGGCUGGUUGGUUCCUUCAUUAGGUUAUAUAUUUCAUUUUGGGCAUUUCAAUCUUUCUGUGGUUACUACUAAAGUGGCGUGGUUCCUACUUUUCUAAUCAUUCAUCGUACCAGUCAAGGACUAUGAGUUAUAAACAAUUGGAUUAACUAACCAUGUGAAACGAUAGAUAUGCCUAUGCUCGGGUCGUCACUAUCAAGAAUCGUUCUUGUAAAGUAGGGAGUUAUGGUUACAUCAGAUAUCAAAUACCAUAUCAUAUAAAGGAAACAAAGCAACUCUAACCAAAUGUAUUGAAGAUAAAAGGUUGAUUUUCUAAAUAAUAUUCCGAUUAAGAUAAUAAGAGCUCGGGGGGCGGUAAAACCUACUCAAUUCAUUUUAUAUGAUAUUAUAUCAAACAUGAGUGCGUAAAUAUAAUCAUAGCUUUGUAUUAUUUAUCAACUGUAUCUGUAUGUCCAAAAGAUCAUAUAGCCUUGUAUUAGUUACCACUUACCAUGCAGUGUAUAAUAGAAUAUCCUUUAUAAAAAAUACUUUAAAAUCAAGCUCCACAACAUGCAUAUAGAGCGAGACGUGUUAAACACGGAGACAAAUCUUUGAUAAACUACUGUAAGUUACCAAGCGCCAUAGCUUGCAUGUAUUUAUAGAAACACGUUGGAUGUAUUAUGUAUGACAUGUUUGAAGACACAGAGAGGACUGGUUAAUAACUUAAUAACCACUAGAGCUUUGAUCCGCGCUAGCGCGGAUAUUGAUUUUUACGUUUUUAUAAAUUGAUAUUCAUUUUUCAUAAUUUUCGAGGUGUCGCCAUAUAACUAAUUAUAUUCAAAAUACUCGGACUGAAUCGAGUAACAAGAUUAUUUUUGGUACAAAUAUCUGAACCUGUUUGAGAUAUAUUGGUUAUUUAAAUAGUUUUAUGUUCCUAUAUAUCAUAAUCAGAAUCAUUCAGAUCUGGGAUGACCCAACUCGAACCCCAGACAUAAAUUUAUAAUAUUCAAGCGGGAUCUAAUUUCAAAACUAAAAGAAAAAAAAUCUCGAAAGAAACAACUUAUACCUGAAUGAGUACCCGAAUGUCUAUACCUAAUUGAUUAUGUAAAUAAAUUAAAAAACUCUUUCUAUAUGUUUGGCUAAAAUAAGGGAAAUAGACAUAAUUUUUUUAUUUAGUAAAAUAGUUACAAUAAAUGUAAUACGUUUUAAUAAUAUAGAUGAUUUAAGUUAUUAUGUUAUUCACAUAAACUAUAUAUGCCUUUGAAUUAGGGGUGUCAAAAUGAGUUAACUCGCUCAACUCAGCACAACUCAUGGUGAGCUCGAGUCUUUCAUGAGCUAGCUCAGCUCAGCUAAUUUAUUAUAUGAACUUCAAUAUGCAAACUUGAACUCAUAUCAUCUAUAUCAUGAAUUAAUGAGCUAACUCGCGAUCAAAUAUAAAAAAAUAAAAAUUAUAAAAAUAAUUAAAAAAUAAAAUAUAGAAUAUUUUUUAUAAUAUAUAUAUAUUCAGUAUAAAAACGAUCAAGCUCAUGAGUUAGCUCAUGUUCAUUAAAGAUCGUUCAUAUAACUCGUGAUCUAGUUUCAGUGCGGUCAUUAAGCUCAUUAAUUAAAUGAACCUAAAAUAGAGAUCAUACUCAUGAAAAAUUUAGCUGAGCUGAGCCAGUCCGUGAGCGAUAACUCAUUUUGACACGCUUACUUUGAAUUAUGUGUUUAGCUACGUAAUUUUUCACCGACUGGAAAUAUAAACGAAAGUUUUAGUAAAACAAACUAAAUCGAACUAUUAACCAUAUGCAAAACCCGGUUAUUUACAUUUUUGACUUUUAUAAUUUGCACAAAGUUAAUGUUAAUCAAGUAAUAAAUACAAAACUUCAUUAUUACUUUUAUGACAAUAUAAUUAAUAAUUUGAUGUAUUGUUAAGGCAAAUAUAAUUUAUGAUGUAAUGUGAUGUAUUGUUUAGGUAAUAUAAUUAAUAAAAUUACAAAAAUGAAAUUAUACUUCUUUUUAUACUGUUAUCCAUGUUUCCAAACAAUUCUCAUUUUUACUGCUAUCAAUAUUUCCAAACAAUUCUCAUUUGUACUUCACUUUUAAUAAUAUAGAUUAAACAAACUUUUAGUUAUUUGAAUUUGUACAUUUUUUUGCAUGUUGGGGCUGCUUAUCACUAAUGGGCCACUAUUUUGGGCCAAUUCAUUUAGCUUUGUAAGAGAUGGUGUAAUUCAAACAGUAUUUCGUUAACGAACCAGAAAACCCCACUUAUUUUAAAAUAAUUUAUUUUAGAUUUUUAUUCUAUUUUUAAUUAAUUAUAACUACUUCAUUAAUUAUUUUUCUAAACAAAUCAUCAACAUCAUUUAUUACACAAGUAUAAAAUAGAAAUUACAUAUUUUCAAUGGUUUUAUUAUAUACUAGGGUAGGCUCUAGCGGGGUAUACUUUAUUUAUGAUCUCAAUUUUUAUUUUUUGUAUGAUUUGGUGGUUUGUGUUUAAGUUUUUAAUUUACAAUAGUGUUUAUUGUUUAUUAGGACAUUUUAAGUGAUGAAGGAUAUUAUAUUCAUUUUAGUUAAUGUUUGAUUUUGCUUAUUUUUGUCACUUGUUUUUUUUUUCUCAAAUAUAUUUUAUGACAUUAUACUAUUUUAGUUAUUAUCUUUCUUUUUUGUUAUGUUUUUUAUAAUGAGAACACAUUUUAUAUCAUCUUCGCAUAUGUCUAACUAUUAUUUUUUAUUAUUCUUGUUAGAGAUUAUAAAGUCGUAUUAGCAUGAUAUGAUUUUCAUGAUUAAUAUGGUAUACAUUUAUUGAAUGUUUGCUUAAAUUUUUAUAUAUAGUAAGUAUUAUUCAAGUUUUUAUUGUUGUGCUUACGUUUAAUACUCAAAAGAUUGAUUAUUUUAUAUUUUGUUUAAAUUGAAAUUUUAAUUAAAAAAAAUAUUAUUCAGUUCAGUGUAUUAUUAGUGGCUGUUUUACCAAUUCUAUUACCUCCUAGAUUUUUUCAUUUGUUAUACCGAGUAAUAAAUUAUUUUAAUUUAAAAUUUAACUAUAAAUUUAUUAUGGAACAGGAAAAACAUAAUAUAAUAUAUGUAUUAGUUAAAAAUGUAUCAUGUGCUAUAAUUUUUGAACAAGAUACAUACAUUUAUUGAAUCUUAUGUAUUACAUGUUCUUAAUAAUUGUUUAUUUGAUGUCUAUCUCGAAUUUGAGUGGUGAAUUGUUGUAUACUAUGUUUUGAAAUUAGAUGCUUGGUUAGUGGGUUUAAUGUUUAUUGGUUAUGAUUGUGAGGCAUGGUCUUAUGCUCGUUGGUGCGGACGUGUGUUGAUACGGUGUAAAAUUUCAUUGCAAGAAAUGAUAGUGAAGAACCCUAAGAUAGGAGGAUCACUUUAGCUGGGUGUUGGAUAUGAUACGAGAAGGCAAACGGUACUUCUGGAACUGAGAGGGAUUGAAAGGAUCGUCAAGUCAAGAGAUGCGGAAUGGCUCUUGAUAUACCACGAUCUAAGGCUAACCAUCUAAGAACGAAUGUAGUGUGUUGGCUAACCACCAAACGACACACAAAGAUGAUUGGCUGACCACCAAAUCAACAAGCCGGUUCAAACCGAUGAACUAGCUAAGAACUCUCUCUCUCACUCAGAGAAAAGAAGAAUCGAAAAUAAACAACCAAAACUGAACUGAUUUUAUUCAUCGAACGGGAUUACAUAUUUAUAGUUUUUGUAGUCAAAGAAAUUAAAAAAAUGUGGGAAAACAAUGCAUAGAAAAUACAAAUUUGACUAGAUCUAGUCAAGGCACGGAAAAUGGAGAAGAAUAGAUCUGGUCAAGGCACGAAAAAUGGAGAAGACUAGAUCUGGUCAAGGCACGGAAAAUAGAGAAGACUAGAUCUGGUCAAGGCACGGAAAAUGAUAAGAACGCUUGCGGGACUGUCCGGAUGGUCCGCCGGAUGAGAAUGCAUGUCCGUCUUCGGUUUCUUCACCACCCAAGCUAAGUCUGGCUCGACCGUGGGUCUUAGAAUGUCGAGUUGGUCAGGGAAGACGAGCUUCAGUACGGGGAAAUCGGUCGUCUGGUCGUGGUUCCAGCCGAAGCUCCAAUCGGGACGCACGCGGGACGGCUCGGUCAGUGUGUCUGGUACGGUCAGAUGAACGAACCUCGGUCAAAUUGUUCGGAACGUCAUGAUCUCCAUGCUGGUUGGCUCCAAUGGACUGAUCCACGAACCAGGGCACAUCAUUUAGUAUGGCCAAAGUUUGAGUAUGUGUGACCAAAUGAUUUUUGAUAACCAAGUAAUGAUCCAUUAAUAUUAAACACAUGUGCUGGAAUAUUAAAAGUUCAACAAAACAGGAUAAUUAUGAAAGAGAAUCAGAAAUUCAAAACUUGGCAAGUAAACGGAUCUUCGGGUAGGGCGAAUGCAAUGGUAGGUUUUUUUUUGUCAUCUGGUAGAUUAAUAUAAAUUUUAAACGUUAACUUACACAAAGCCGGCAAAGGUCUAUAACCUUUCCGGAGCCAAAAGCCGGCGAGUUACACGAAAACACCCGGAGCCAAAGGUUUAAACUAUAUAUGCUUGUAGUAAUAAUAUCCGGAGUCAGGUUAUAUAUCCAAAAACAUAUGUAUCUGCUUGUAGUAAUAAUAAACAUUACACCCAUCUUCUUUUCCUUUGAGCAUGCAGAUUCUUGGGGGCAUUAUAAUAAGGAUCAUGUGUGUACCAUAAGAUGGCCUCUUCACGAUCGGGAUAUAUGGCAAGGUAUGUUUCAGCUUUCUCCAACAUCGGUCGACUGAUAACAUGUUUGUACGCCAAUCGAGGAGGUCCAUAAAUGCCAUGCCUUCUUCAUGUUCUCCUGUGAUCAUCAGAAGAAUAGCAUAGAUCAUGGUUGCCGAGAACUUGAGAUGUUUGAGGCCUUUUUUAGGCUGAUCCAAUGCCAAGUAUUGCUUCACUUCCUCUAUAAAGUGUGCCUCAGCAUUACGUGUCUUCUAUAUUACACGCAAUACAAUUUAUGAUUAUCAUUUUUAAUACAAUUUUUUUAGAUGUACAAUGAUUGGUUUAGUUAAAUAAAUAAAUAAUAGUAUAAGAUCAUAAUUCCGUCGAUUUAUUAUGUGAAUUUAUGGUAUGAUGAAUAUUUAACGUAAAAGUAGGGAUCCUUUUUAAUAUCUAGAUGUUAGAGGGAACUCCCCUAACGUAAAGUGAAUUACUAUUGUAUGUUAGAGUUCAAUAUAUGUAUGUCAAACCAGUAAAUUCAGUUUUGCAUUAUUUUUUUUUUGUGUUAUGUAUUUUUUAAAUAAGCUUGAUAUAUAAUAUAUAUUAGAUUCCUUGGUUCUUUCAUUGUUUUUACGUUUUAUGUGUUUUAUUUAUUUUUAAAAAAUCUUCUAGGUAUUUCGGUACAUGGAAAUCAAAGACAAUUCAUCCAAAUUGUUGAUGUUUAUUUAAGCAUAUGAUAUACUCCUAAUGGUUAUAAAAAUAAACAUUUUCUCCUGGUUUUGAAUAUUACACAUCUAAAACAGUUAUAAAUCCUCAUUCUUUUGUUGCCAUUCCAAUCACUUUGAUAAAAAUUAGUAGGUACCAGCGAAUAGAAUCUAAUGGAUUAUGGUAUAUAGAUAGAUGAUGAUUUUGAAAUCCUAGUGAAGAGAUUCUAACUCUUCCUUCGGUUAAAAACAAACUAUACGGUCUAACAUUAUACAGAAGAAGAAACAGACGAGAUACAUUAUUACAAUGUAGUGGAGAGAGAACUGAAAGUUAAGAUUAUGGGGCAAAAAGAUAUUGUAUGUUUAGUACUUUAGUAUGGGGCCGGAAAUACAAAGAAAAACAAAUCCCAAAUUUCUCAAAAAACAAUGCGCGUCGUUUUGAGUUUCCAAUUUUAACAAAAUGAAUGUUGUUUUAUGUUUUCGGUAUUGGAGAUAUUGUUGACACAAACGUUUUCCUUCUCCUCAAACUGCAAUCAAAAAGUCCAUGAAACGACGUCAUUUAGUAAAGAGACCUCUUCUGAAGUCGUCAGCACCAAAUAUAUCCUCUUCCCAUUUUCACAGACAAAUUCAAAAUCAUUAAUGGACCUAGAGAUUGUUGGUCGUCACGCUUUAUUUUUCGAGAAGAUUUGAUGGCUACCUUUGUAAACUCCCCAAUGGCGCUCGUUAACUGGAACAGCCACCGGUACGAUGUUCUUCACCUCCUCUCUUCUCUUCCACCUCUGCGUAUGAAACGCCGCCGUUUGGUUCCAGACGACCCCGACUUGGAAUCGGACCUCGAUCACGAGCGCUAACUUGAUUUACCGGCGGAAUCUCUAUCUCUUUCGCAUGAUGAGAGAGGUAAAGAGAGAAUCUCACAUAUAUUUAUACCGAACCCACACCGUCUCUCAGAUCUAAACGACGCUUUGAAGACACAUCGUGGGAGAGUGAAUCAAUGAGAUUAAACACAAAUCCAUAACUGGGGCCGUUUCAGAUGGAGAGAAGAAACGCAAACGAACUUCAUUUCUUCGAUACAACCAUAUCAUGGUUAUAGGCGAUCUUCAUUUCUCCGGGCCGGAUACUCUGUACAAAAUAACAGUCCAAACACACAUUAAAAGAUCAAAGCCCAGCAUGUCACAAACUGAAUGCUACGGUAAGUUUCACCACAAACUGAAUACAACAACUUUCUGACCUGGAUCCUAGGUAGCGCAACAGGAGGGAAGAUAACAUCUUGUUAUUAGUAUAGAUUUUACAUUCCAUUUCUUACACUUUUUAACUACUUCAUUUAUAAUGUUUUGACAUCAUUUAUUUUACAUACCAUAAUAAUUCAGCAUAUUUAAAUGAAAUUACUGCAUUUGUGAUAAGAGUUCAAAAUUUUAACAAAUAUUUUUUUAAUUUUUUACAUAAUCAGUUAGAGAUAUACAUUCAUGUACAUGUUCAGAUCGGAUCUUCCCAAGUUUGGAUCGAUUCGGUUUUAGUGUAUAUAAACCUAAAAUAUUCAAAACUAAUGUAUAUGAAACAUGUUCCAAUAUUUGUACCAGAAGUAACCAUAUUAACCGAUUCAGUUCAGGUAUUUUGAAUUCAAACAAAAAAUAAUCUAAAAUAACUAAAUAGCUAAAAAUAACCAUAUUAUUCUAUUUGAUUUGGGUUUGAUUCUGAUGUACAAGAACUAAAAAUAUUCAAAUACUUAUAUAAUUACUUAUACGAUGACACAUAUAAAAUAUCCCCUAUAUAUUAAUUGAGAAACAUUACAACCUCUUUUUGUAGUCAUGUGUCAUCACUAUGAUGAUUCUUAGAAUUAUUAGAGAAAUAGGUUGGUCCAUCUAAUUAUAUAAUAACCUUUUUAUAAUACUAACCAUAAAUCCAUUAUUAAUGUUUUUUUUAUUAUUUCCUUAAAUAAAAGUUACGGAAUUGCCUAAUGUGGCUAAAGUAUAUAUGAAAAUUAAUAAUUUUGAAUAAUAAAGAUUUAAAAAAUUAGUCUAUCUUCUAUCAUAUUUGUUUAAUUUUAAAUUAUUAAAUAAAUUAAACAAUCACAUUAACCAUAUAAUAAAACUUAGAUUUUUUCUGUAUAUGUUAUGUUUUGAAUUUUUUUGAAACGACUAUAAAUUAUUAAAUCAUUUCACAUUCAAAUUUUGUGAUACAUGGUUUAAAAUUUUGUUAUGACAAAAUAUAAAUGAUUACAAAAUAAUAUAAAUAAAAAGUCUAAUUUAAUUAAUUAUCAAGAUUAGAUAUAUAUAUCGUUUUAAAUUAAAUUAUAUACCAUAUAAAAUACAUAAAUAUUUUAAUUUCGAUAUUUACUUUGAACAAUUUUUUUUUUGAUAAAAGCUUUGAUCAAAAAUUGACAACUUAUUUAAAAAAUAUAUAUAAAUUACUAAAACUAUUAAUCUGAAUUUUUUUGUUAUUAGUAAUUUAAAGUUUUUGCUAUAAACGAUACAAAUGAUAAAAAAACAAAUGAGUAGAAAGCAAUAUUUAAUAGACAUUAAUAUUAAAAAUAUAUUAUGUAUGUUAAUAUCAUUUAAAUUUAAUUAUAUAUCCUAUCAAAUAAAAAACAAUUAUUGUUUGGAUUAAUAAAAUGAAUUUAUAUGUUCGCACCAAUUUUAUUAUAUAUGUAUUAGUUACUGACUUUUAAUUAUUCAAUAUAUAUUUAUUAGUUCAUAAUAUGUAAAAACAUAAAAUAAUUUAUAUAAAUAUAUUGUUUAUCCCGCGCAAGGCGCUAGUUUUAAUCUAGCGUUAUACUAAUCAUAAAAAAAAAUCUAUUCAUAAAAAAUAAAAUUAACAGCCGGACAGGCGUACAAGUCAAGGGAAAACGGCUAAUUAAUGUCUGCACCAAUAGUUCUUGGAAGAUUCAUACCUAUACUUUAUCAGCGUGCUAAAACAAGCCUACACUCCUAAGCAAUUUGAAAUACGUACCUGAAGAACAAUGUCAAUGGCUAAUUCAUGCUUUGACCAAAUUGGUGUCUAAAUCUCCGUUAACGGAUCUGAGUCAUCACCGUUCUGUCCAAAAAUUGAAACGGACCUGUUCAAAAAAGUCCGACGUCGUUCUCUCUUUUCUUUUCUUUUUGGAAAAGGGCUUCGCCGUUCUCUUUUUUCCUGCAAUUAUCUUCUUCUUUUCUUCUUACUUCGUCUCUUCUCUCUGGUCUCUGCAAUUCUCUUCUUUCUCUGAACUUCUUUUCUUUUUCUCUGCAAUUUCUCUUUUUCUCUGCAAUUCUUUUCUUUUUCUCUGCAAUUCUCUUCUUGGUUGAUUUAUAUAGGUCACUUUUAUGAGUUUAAAAGCAUAAAGAAUCAUAUAAAAGUAGGAAUAACUGAAACCUUUUCAGAUAACAUACUAAGAGUAUCAAAGAACACCAACGAUUACCUAAAGGAACAAAACAUAACUACUUCAGCAGCAAAACAUAGAUGUUUUAAGAAACAAGGAAAUAACACAAAAGCAAUACAUUCGUACAAGUUUCUGGUCUUCUAAACAUCAAAGCUUCGUACACGUCAACAUCAUACAACUUCAAAGCUUUCAAAUUUGCUUUAUAAUCAGCUUCAUUCUGGCUCUCUACCACACUCCAAAACAGCUUCUUCAUUUCAGGUUUAUUGGGAUACAGCUUCCUCAAGUUCCCCUAGAUAUGCCUAGCACACAUUCGGUACUCUACAAGGGGUAACACUUCAUCAACAGCUAUAAGUAAUCCCUAAUGCCAAGCAAUAAAGCUAUUAGAAACCAGCAAAACAAUUCUUCAUAGGAUUUCACCUUCAUCUACUUCGACUCCACACUUUACCUCAGAUUUCACUCCUUCCCAUCUAGUAAGCUGGAUAUUCCACCCGCCUUUCAAAGCAUACUCUAAUACCGCUUCUCAGAACUCUUUCACACUCUCAAAGACUUGCUUCUCUUCCACCUAUCAUAAGGCAUUGGUUAUUGAUCUUCUUCAGAGUCAGAACAUGGGGGUGUAUCCCUAUAAUUUUCAUUCUCUUCAUCAUCACCAAACACACCCACCACUGCUUCCACUCUACCAUCCUCUUUGCACUCAUUCUCACCAUCACUCAGACCUCCUUCACACUCAUUCUGACCUCCGUGUGUAUCACCAGCACCAUAUACAGCACCAUCAUUUUGACCACCAUGACUAUGAUCUUCAUUCAUUGCCUCAUCUAUGUCACUGAAAUUGAACAAAGUUUGCAACACAUUAAUCAUCGACUCACAACAAAAAACCCCGAAAUUUGAACUUAGAUAAGACCGACUUCGAUGAUUAGCUAAGAAAUCCUAAAAUUAGAACUGUUACUAAAACUAAAUUGAAGAACUCACUUUUUUAAGAACCCUAAACACCGAUGAACUCAGAUUACUUACAUCAUGUUUUGAUUGGAAAUGAAGGACCCAGUCUUAUGUUUCACAACAAACCAAGCGCUUGAUUUUGUAGAGACCAGAGAGAAGAGAUGAACUAAGAGGAAGAAUAGUCGGAACGAGAAAGAAGAGAAUUUACAGGAAAAAAAAACGAAGUCGGACCUAUUUUUUUUAACAGGACCAGUUUCAAUUUUUGGACAGAAUGGUAAUAACUCAGCAGCUGACUCAGAUCCGUUAACGGGGAUGUAGACACCGUUUAGUCAAAGCAUGAAUUAACCAUUAACUUUGUUCUUCAGGUACGUAUUUCAAAUUGUUUAGGAGUAUAUGCUUGUUUUUCCAAAAACUAUUGGUGCAAGCAUGAAUUAGCCUUUGAUGGAGAGAAGAAACGCAAACGAANNNNNNNNNNNNNNNNNNNNNNNNNNNNNNNNNNNNNNNNNNNNNNNAUCAAAAGAAGACUUAGAAAAUAAGAUGUCUGAAUUGCGAUGUAUUGUUAUUUAGUUAUAGUUCAAGUGUUUUACAAAUUAAGGUUUUUUAUUACUAUAAAAUUAUGGUAAUAGUUAUUAACACAAAUUUAACUUAUAUAACAAAUAGAUUUUCAUGUAUUGUUAUAAAAUAGAUACAUAUUUACAUGUUUCUACUUUUAAUCGGUUUUGUUCGGUUUAUUCGGUUUAAUCGGUUAUAUACCAAACCAUAUCCAAAUCCUACGGUUUUUAUAAAAUUAUAUCCAUUCGGUUUAUAUGGUAUAUACCAAAACCAAACCAUAUUGUCUAUUUCGGUUCGGUUCGGUUCGGUACGGUUCGGUUUUACCAUAUUGAACAGGCCUACCUACAAGUCAGUCUCUAGUUCCGGUUUAAAAAAGAGAACAAAAAAAAAAAAAAAUCAACCUCUCAGAUAGUUAAGAAGAUUAUCCGCCUUAAUACCUGAAUCAAUGCUAACAAGAAACAGACCAAUAAUACUCAAUCACGCGGAUCGCCACGUAGGAUUAAUAUUUCCCUCAAUCAAAUCUGGACCGUCGAAUCGCACGUCUUCCACUUCUCCUUAAUUAAUCUCAUCGCUAUAAAUUCUUAAUCUUCAUUCACCUUUUUCUCCUUAAACGAAACAUUCGAUUCAUUCUCUCUCUGAUUCAAAGCUCUUCGUUGAGAGAAGAAGCCAUGGCUCGUACGAAGCAGACUGCUAGGAAAUCCACCGGAGGAAAAGCUCCCAGGAAGCAACUCGCCACCAAGGUUUGUUCUUCUUAUAUUCUCAAUUACGAAGAAAAGGGGAUCUAGGGUUUCGAAUUCGCCUGGAAUUUCGAUUCUAACGUAAUUGCGAUUACAGGCGGCGAGGAAAUCGGCGCCGACCACGGGAGGAGUCAAGAAGCCUCACCGUUACCGUCCCGGAACCGUCGCUCUCCGGUAAUUUCGCAAAUCUUUUUCACGGAAAAGUUCCGUCUCCGUUCCGUUAGUUAACGGUGUUUGUUUUUUGUUUCUUUUUAAUGAAUCAGUGAGAUUCGUAAGUACCAGAAGAGCACUGAGUUGUUGAUCCGUAAGCUUCCGUUUCAGCGUCUCGUUCGUGAGAUCGCCCAGGAUUUCAAGGUAGUUUCUUUGAUCUUGUCACUGAUUAUUAUGCUGAACAAGUAAUGAUUUUGAGAUCUUAAUCUGUUUCUUGUGCUGUAGACAGACCUGAGGUUCCAGAGCCACGCAGUGUUGGCGCUUCAGGAAGCUGCGGAGGCUUAUCUGGUGGGUUUGUUCGAAGACACGAAUCUCUGUGCCAUUCACGCCAAGAGAGUCACCAUCAUGCCUAAAGAUAUUCAAUUGGCUAGGCGUAUUCGUGGAGAGCGUGCUUAGAAGAAUCACAUCUCUCAUCUAGUACUUUUGAUUUCUUUCUGUUUGUUUGUUUGUUUUAAGCAUAAUGCUUUGGUGUUAUAAACCUCUCUUUGAGGCUUAAGAACAUAGAUGGAUUGAGUAAUUGAUGUUAUGACACACUCUAUUUGUUAACUCUUGUUUCUCUCUCUAUGUUGAGUUUAUUGUGCGACACCACUAUUCCAAAGUAGAACAAACUCAUCAUUUUGUCAAUAUGGUUAGUCUUUAGAAUCACAGAUAUACUAUUCGUUAGUCAUAUCAUAUGUAGUUCAGGAAGCGUUUUACAAGCGCUUGUGUGUGAAUUUUAAGUUCAAACUCAUAAAGCAUGCACAAGAGCUAACUGAAUUGUUGGCUGUCAUUUAACACAUAUAAACUACCACAAAGUUCUGUUCUUGAUUGGAGUAUUAGCACAAGGAAAGUAAUAUUGAACUUCUUAUCAAAACGAAAUUUGGCAGCCAUUACAUUCAAAAAAAUGAAAUUUGGCAGCCAGGAGAACAUAGAUUCAUGAUGAGAACUUUGAAUAGCUUGAUUAAUAUUUUGGACCUCGAGUAAUCACUCAUUGGGCUGUGUGGUUUUUAUGUUUAAGCCCAUAUUAGAUAGUGUAUCUGGUUUGUAAGAAAAUGGUAUCGAUUACUAUCAUCAAAAUAUCAAAAGGUAUAUAUUUUUUUUUUUUUUGUCGAUGGUUAACUAUGCUAUUACAAACUAUGAGAAAUAUUACAAGACGAUUCUACAGCCGAAAAUUCUACCUGCCUUAUGAAGAUUCACGUUUGACUGCAUCAUCCUCAACCGUCCUAUGAGAUCCAUGUCUGACGGUACUCCUAUAUGUUUUUUCUCCAUAAAUCUGCAUAAUUCGCCUUUGUUAGGAUUCGAAACUCAGACCUCCUGGUGUAGAAGCAUUAAUGAACUCUUAGUUAAACCACCGGACUAAUGAGGUUUCCACAAAUAUCAAAAGGUUAUCUUCAACAUUUUUUUCCCUAGUUAGCAAAAAAAAAAAAAACAUUUUUUCCCUUAAUGAUUUUUCUCAUCUCAGAUUCUUCCUCUAUCCCUCCCCCCUUAUUAUUACGUCACAAAUUCGAUGAGCUCACACCAGAGCUUAUCAAACUUUUUACUUCAAAUGCAAGUGGUGGAGGUUGGUUGCAAAUUUGCGUACAAGUAGUCAAACAAGAGAGUGACACAAGUGGAGACGUGCAACAGUGCCGUGCGACAGUAGUAAAAAUAGAAACCUUCGCUUAUGGCAGAAAAAAAGAAAAAAAGAUCAAGGGCAUCAUCUACUAGUAUCAUAGGCAUAAUGUAACCAUAAUAACUUGAGUUUAUACGAUGAAAGCACUAUAAUAGUUUGGAUUAAAAAAAACGUGAGCUUAUGAUAUAUUAACGAUUACAUGCAUGGGUUUCCUAAGUAACAAACCAUGUAAACAAUUGUUAAAAAAAAAUAGAAUAAUUAGAUAUUGGUGAUUAUAGUUCUGAUAGAAUUUUUAAAAUAAGUAGUUUUUUUCUUGGUCUUUUUGGACUCUCUCUAUUUCUGGUCUUUGAAAAUCUUUCUACACUUGUUCACGACUUUCUAUUUAUGGAAUCUUUUAACUAAAAAUCACGUUUUUCUUAUAAGUAUUCCCACAAAAUAUCCGCAAGGAAGGAACAAGUUUAGCAUCUAUCUCUUGCCCACGACAUCAAAAUUCCAUUUGCUAUAAUAAAAAUAACAAAAUUUAAAGAUUCGUUUCAUUUACUCAUGAAACUUUCACAUACCAAUAAAGUAUCAAAUAUGAAAACAUUACCAACUCAGAGACGAAAGAAUCCCAUUCAUGUAAUUGUAUCCAAACAACAAUCUUAUUACAUACAUUCCCGCGAAAUAAAUUUUGAUCACUCAAAUCAAAAAGAAUUCAACAGAUUUUUUAAAAUAAAAAAUUACCACACACGUAGAACAAACUAUAAUAACAUUGACAAACACAUUCACUGCAACCUUACCCAAAUACCUUCACUCGGUAUAUCUUGGUUCACAACAAAAGCCAUGUAAUAACCAGGUGGUGCAAUGUUCUUAUAUCUUGGUGCCUUAACCCUAACCUCAUAAGUCCACACUCCUAUCCUCACUAACUCAACAUGAUCAAGAACCAAAAGUCUCUGACUCAUCGAGAAGGAAUGAGAAGUAAACGAAGGAAACACCAUCGUCACCUUAACCGGACUUCGCACUCCUCCUAUACCGAACACCAUAAACCUCAGCCUCAAGAUUCCACCGUAGUUAACGGUAGAGUGUGAUAAAAGACUAAUAAUCCUCGGACGUAUACUCCAAUACUGAGAUUCCAAAUACGACGGAGAGAAAGCUUCUAGCCUAAGCUCCGUCGGGAAAAGAACGUCGGUGAAAUUAUAAAACUGAUGUGGGUUGCUUCCUCCGACAAGAACUCUACCGUCACGGAGCAAACCGGCGGUUGAAUGGUACAUUCUUGGUAUAGUACUAGGAUUCUGAACUUGGAAUCUCGAACCGACCAGUUUAUUGGGAUGAUAAAGGUCAGGGUUCAAAACCGGUUCACGACCUAGCUCCCAACCAGCAGAGCCUGAUGAGCCACCGUUAAUUAACAGAACAUGUCCGUUAGGUAAAAGGAUCAUAUCUCCCAUUACUCUCGACCUAGGCAUCUUCUCGAGAACCCAUUGAGGUUUAUCAUCAUUGAUCUUGAUUCUUGCACACGUGUCAAGAGCUUUGACAAAAGUGUUUUUAUAUAAAGCGAGGAGGUACGAUCUUUUCGGUGCACCGCCGCACACCAGAACUUCCAUCUCGACAACCUCAGCUUCAAGGUUCUUGAUGGGGAGAAGAACAGCUGAACCAGUGCUCGGAUAGCUUCUCGGAUCGCCUCCAGGGAUCUUCGGAUACGUUUUCACGACAGUGUUCUUAUUAUAGUCUAGCAAAAUGGCUUUGUUGUUAGCGAAUAUGAAUAAGUUUCCGUCGCUGUUGAGGAAAAUGAAAGGGUAGAGAUUGUUUUCUUGUCCCACAUCGUAGGUUUCGGACAAGAACGGUAACUUGUAGAGACUUGGAGCUUUUGUCUUAGGGAAGAACUCGAAGUUGAACUGGUUUCGACCUCCUACUAUGAUCUGACGACCAUCUGGAAGAACAUGAUUCGUAGCGUACCAUCUUCUUACGUUAAGUGCGUUAUCAACUUCUGUCCAAUCACAUGACUCGUCGUCGCAAGGAUAGAACAUUCUAGCUUUACGUUCCCCUUCUUUGUCUCCUCCCGUCUGGAGGAGAGCUCCCUCGGGAGUGACUCCUCCUGAGGAGCACCAUGUGUUUGAUUCAAUGGUUAAAGGACGGAUGCUGUUAAAAGCGACGUCGUAUUCGAUGGAGUGCGCCGAGCAGUCACGUUUGGAAACGACGUCGUUUGGGCUGUCGCGGCAGGCUCCGCUAGGGAGAGAGAUUUUUGAAGGACCGAAGUUGGAACGAUCGUACAUUAUGACCCGGUCGUUGAUGAGGAGUUGUGAGUGCAUUGCUGAGAUUCCGACCUCGUUUAAGAGAAGCUUCCAUGUUCCUCCGGCGCCGGAUGCUACGUUGAAGGAGAGGAGGAGGAGGAUAGAGAAGUAAUUGAGUUUGUUGACGUGGGUGACGAUUUGAGGUUUGGCUUCUGCUGCCAUUUUUGUUUUGGUUGUAAUAUUGAGUUUAUGUCACGGGUGGUUCGGUUUUAUAUAUUUAUUUCUAGCUUGUGUGGUACAAUAUUAAACGAUCCAUGAGGUGUAGUUUGUAGAAGCAUGGAAGAAAAAGAUCAAUAUUAAUGCCAUGACGUAAAUAAUGCAUACUAAUUAGUAACUCCCGCCAUUAUUCCAAAAUAAUUAUGCCAAAUUUACUUCAAAAUUUAAUUAUUAUGACAGCUUUCGUUUCCCAUUUUGAAGACUGAAAACUUAACAAAUCUAAAAUUUCGAUGAUAUAAACCUGAAAUUCUGCCACAUUGUUGAAUUUUUGUAUGACAUAAAUUUCUGUGUUUUUCAAAAUUUCAAAAUUAAUCUUAGUUGACUAACAUUAAUAAAAACGUGUCAACUUAACGUGUCAAAUCUUCAUCUGUACAUAAAUAAAAAUAUGUUGGAAAAUCUGAGAACAACAUUAAAAUUAAUAUGGAAUUAUAUGAUUUGUAUAUAAAAUAGAAAACUAGGUGUUUCUCUCGCUGCGGACAUAAACAUUUUAUAGUUACUUAUAAAUACAUACAUUAAUAAUUAAAAGACUAUAAUGAUAAAACAUUAUUUAUAUUUUCAUUUGAAAAUUUUUACGUCUUCUAAAUUUAUUGAAUUUUUUUACACUAUAUUCAUUAUUAAUAAAUAAAUCUAAGAAGUCACUCAAUAUUCUAUUUUCAACUAUAUAAAAUUUAGAAUUUUAUUUGAUUAAUAUUAUAGACAUGUUUUUUUUUUACUUUUUAUUAAAAUAUAUUUUUUCAGAUAACAACACAAUAUAUAUAGAAAUUAUAUAUUUUUUGUUUUAAAAUAUUUUUUAGAUUUUGGAUAAUUCUUCUUAUUAUUAAUUUUAAUCACUUAUUUAAUCAAAAUAAUUUAAAUUCGUAUUUUGUUUUGUAUCUAAUUUAUAUAUUUUAUUCAUUAAGAGUAUAACAAUAUUAACCACUUUAAGUUUUAACGUUAGAGCUCGAACGCAAAAAAUCACUUCUCAAAUAAUAGUAUAGAUAACCAAUAUCAUUUAUUUUAAAAUAUGUAAAUGUAAAAUUAGAAUAUAUCAGAAUAAAUAAAAGGACUCCAAGUCCCACAUUAGAUAUUAGAUAAAAUAAAAUCUAAUAUAUAUAUAUAUGGGAAAUUGCCAAAAAUACCAUUUUCAUGAUACCACUUUUCAAAUUUACACUAACCAAUUUUACCAUUAAAAUUUUAAUAGAAAAAUAACCAUUAUGUCCCUAUUUAAUUAAACCUACAAUUAUAUCUAAACCAACUAUAUCUUCUUCCUAGAUGUGAGAAUCCGGCGAGCUCCGACAAAGACGACGAUCGGAUAUGUGAGAUGUCGGCGAUUGAUUUUGUGAUGAAAGCGAGGACACUGGUAUGAGCCAAGUGAGGCAUCUGCGCCACGAUUGCGAUAGAGUGGUUCGAAGAGAAAAAUGAAUUGGAUCUGGCCGGACAGAUAUUUGAUGAAGGUGACGGUUUCUCCGACGAAACUGACAAAUUCUACAAGCUCAGACGAACAAGACGAUCUCUGUGAUGAACACGCGUAAGAAACACUAACGAAGGUGAUUUGAUAAUAGAUGGUGAUUUUCGUCUUUUUCUUUAUUUUAGCUUGAUUUCUCAAAAUUGAUCAGUUUCUGGGAAAGGAGACGAAGUUUUUUUCAUGAAGUUAUGAAAUCUCAAAUUUAUAAAACCUUAUAAAUUUAUCGGUGAAGAACAUAGUGCUUAUAUAUUAUGGUUUUUGAUAUAUUUUGUUGAUCCUUUCUACUUUGAGUAUUUUUAUGUUGAAUAUACUUUUUUCCUUCUCUGAUCCAUACAUUCUUAUAAUCAGGUUAUGAUUAUCGACAUAUGUUCUGUAUGUGGAGAAUGGAACCUAAUACAUGGAAGUCAUUCAUAAUUGAUGAUACACGAAGAUCUCUUCUUGGUAUCAUUUGUGAAGAUAUCUGCUACAAAAAUUUGAUUGAGGUUGUUUUAGAAGAAGUAACAUCAUCUUUUAACAAACUUCAAGAGAAUGAAUGAUUUCUUCAUCUAUGUGUAACCAUUAAGGUAAUCAUACGGAACUCUUUGCUAACAUUUUUGUUUAUAAAGGCUUAUUAAUUAAUUUUACCAUACGUAUUAGCUUCAUGUUUUUAUGUUGUAGAGAGGAACAUAUACAUUUCCUCUUAUUGAAUCAAGCAAGGUAGUAACUAGUACUCAUGAUUUGCUUGCUGAAAGUAGUAAUGCCCUUGAGAUGUUUAUAAAACCUUAUAAAAUAACUGUGUAUAUGGAGGAUCAUUACUGCAAGUAUUUUGUAACUGUAACAAGGAUACAUAUCUGUUUGAUGCCAAAAGUUUCAACAUUAAUUGUUCUUAAUGGAUGAUAUUAUGUGAUAGGUAGCCCUCAUGAAGCUGAACGUGUCUAGAUGGAGAUGGAAAAUAUAGAAGUUAAGCAUGGUGUAGUGUCUUAUUCUAGCCUGAUAUCUUGCUAUUCAAAAGAAGGUAACUUGAAUAAGGUGCUUUAACUUCUCUACCGGAUGAAAAAGAAGUGUAUAGAGCCAGAUAGAAAAGCGUACAAUGUGGUGCGAACACGCGUAAGAAACACUAACGAAGGUGAUUUGAUAAUAGAUGGUGAUUUUCGUCUUUUUCUUUAUUUUAGCUUGAUUUCUCAAAAUUGAUCAGUUUCUGGGAAAGGAGACGAAGUUUUUUUCAUGAAGUUAUGAAAUCUCAAAUUUAUAAAACCUUAUAAAUUUAUCGGUGAAGAACAUAGUGCUUAUAUAUUAUGGUUUUUGAUAUAUUUUGUUGAUCCUUUCUACUUUGAGUAUUUUUAUGUUGAAUAUACUUUUUUCCUUCUCUGAUCCAUACAUUCUUAUAAUCAGGUUAUGAUUAUCGACAUAUGUUCUGUAUGUGGAGAAUGGAACCUAAUACAUGGAAGUCAUUCAUAAUUGAUGAUACACGAAGAUCUCUUCUUGGUAUCAUUUGUGAAGAUAUCUGCUACAAAAAUUUGAUUGAGGUUGUUUUAGAAGAAGUAACAUCAUCUUUUAACAAACUUCAAGAGAAUGAAUGAUUUCUUCAUCUAUGUGUAACCAUUAAAGUAAUCAUACGGAACUCUUUGCUAACAUUUUUGUUUAUAAAGGCUUAUUAAUUAAUUUUACCAUACGUAUUAGCUUCAUGUUUUUAUGUUGUAGAGAGGAACAUAUACAUUUCCUCUUAUUGAAUCAAGCAAGGUAGUAACUAGUACUCAUGAUUUGCUUGCUGAAAGUAGUAAUGCCCUUGAGAUGUUUAUAAAACCUUAUAAAAUAACUGUGUAUAUGGAGGAUCAUUACUGCAAGUAUUUUGUAACUGUAACAAGGAUACAUAUCUGUUUGAUGCCAAAAGUUUCAACAUUAAUUGUUCUUAAUGGAUGAUAUUAUGUGAUAGGUAGCCCUCAUGAAGCUGAACGUGUCUAGAUGGAGAUGGAAAAUAUAGAAGUUAAGCAUGGUGUAGUGUCUUAUUCUAGCCUGAUAUCUUGCUAUUCAAAAGAAGGUAACUUGAAUAAGGUGCUUUAACUUCUCUACCGGAUGAAAAAGAAGUGUAUAGAGCCAGAUAGAAAAGCGUACAAUGUGGUGGUUCACACUCUUGCCAAAGAUAGGUCUGUCUCUCACUUUGAGGUGAUGAAUUUGAUUAAGGAAAAGGAAGAGUAGGAAGGGAUGAAACCACACAUUUUAGCUUACAACUCUCUCAUCAAACCCGAUGCAUGGAUAAAAGAACAAAAGAGGCAAAGAACGGAGUUUUCCCAAUGAUACACACAUACCAUGCCUUUAUGCGGAUUCUAAGAACAAGAGAAGAUACCUUUAAACGAUAUGCCGAGAUGAGAUAUGGGUUGGGAAUCAACUAUGGAUUGAUGGAUAAGUUUUAUAGGUGGAUCGAUAUGGAUAACGUACCUUAUUUGCUUUUUGGAUAACAGAGGGAUAACACAGGGAUGAAAAUGACAAGUCUAAAUUAACCUUAUUUGUUUUUUGGAUAACAGAGGGAUAAAAAUCCUAAAAUUAUUUGAACCCAGAUUUAUAAAGGGUUAUAAUUUUUCGUAAACUCAAUAUUCACUAUCGAAACUCUUUCCCAUAUAUCAACAUGUUCUAAGCCAACCUUUGUUGAUUUUUUUUUUAAUAACAGAAAGAACAAAUUGUUUUAUAAGCCUUUCUAAAUGGUUAUAGAUUCUUAUGAAUAAUUUAGGGACAUUAUAGAGGCAUGAAGAAAUUUAUUACAUACCCUUUAUAAAAGGUUUAUAAACUCUUCAUAAUAAUUAAUAAGCCAUUAUAAAUGGUUUCUAAACUUUAUAAAAACUUUUAUGAACUUUAUAAAUGUUUUAUAAACCCUUAUAAAUUAUUUACAUAGUUUUAUAAACCUUAUAAAUUAUUUUACAAACCUUAUAAAUUGUCUUAUAAGCGUUUCUAAAUGGUUAUAGACUCUUAUAAAUGAUUUAAAGACCUUCUAACUGAUUUCUUUUAUAAACAUUUAUAAACGGUUUAUAGACUUUAUAAACUCCUUUAUAAGCCUUUAUAAAUACAUUUAUAAAUAAUUUACAAACUUUAUAAAAUGUUUUUUUUAUAAACUUUACAAAAGGUUUAUAAACUCUUAUUAACUCUUAUUGAUUAUUUACAUAUUCUUGUAAACCCUUAUAAAUUAUGUUACAAACUCUUAUAAAUUGUUUUAUAAGCCUUUCUAAAUGGUUAUAGAUUAUUAUGAAUGAUUUAGGGACUUUAUAAUUGAUUCGUAAACCUGUAUAAACCUUAUAAAUUGUUUAUUAACUUUAAUGUUUUCAUAAACAUUUAUAAAUAGUUUAUUAACUUUAACGUUUUCAUAAACAUUUAUAAAUUGUUUAUAGACUUUAAAAUUUCUUUUAUAAGUCUUUAUAAAUUGUUUAUAAAAUUAUCUAGAACCUAAUCAGACAACAUUCGCCCUUUAGUUGCAACAUAGACUAGAAGAAUACAAAUUGUGUAGAGAUACUGACUCAGCAAAAACAAAAUUAGAGGGCAGGUUGGAUUAUAUCCUUUGAAGGAAAUUUAAUAUGGCCACAGAGACGCAAGCAAGCUCCUGUGUGGAAUAGAGACUUCUCAAAGUCCCAUAUGUCACGUACAAGCACCUGCAGAAGCAACAAAUUUGUAACUCACUUGCAGUUCUUAAAAAAAAAACUCAAUUCUACGAGAAAAACUAUGCUCUGCCGUUCAAUGUCGAAAGACUAGAUUAUACUUGAGAGUUUAAAAAAUGAUUACUAUUGAAAGAAACGCAGACAUGUUGACUCUUGGCAUUAGAAACAACAUUUCUCAAAACAUAUAAGUAAUAAAGGUAAGUAUAAUGCCAAAGUUACUUUGCAAACACGAGAUUUUCUCAUGAAGUGCAUAAGGUUCGUAAACAAAUCCAUGGCUUACCCGCAACACUCUAACAGCACCCUGCACUUAUAAAUAGUUGAUGUGAGACAUCAAAUCAUAGGAAACAACUGACAUAUGAGACAAAAAUGCAAGAAAGAGCAACAGAAACUGAGUUAUUUAACACACCGUUUUCUGCAGCUGAGGUGGAGCCUUCACUUGCGUUGUAGCAUACCUUUUAUCACUGCUAAAGGGACAGACUCUGCAAUCUAAGACACAAGAAGAAACUAAAAGAAAUGUCAAUGAUUGGUCAAUAAGACUUAAGAAAAAACCAAAGCCAAUGAUGAAUUUGGUGAUUACUAUUGUAGAUGAAAGCAAAUGUGUGAGGGCAGGGUUGUGGCUCUCAUAUAAGCUUGAACAUACCCUUCUUUCAUGAGUGUCGGAAACUGAACAUGUCAAUUACAUUACUAAAUAACUUAGAUUUAUACAGGGUUAUAAAUAUUCAAAAACUCAAUGUUCACUAUCGGAAAUCUUUCUCUUAGAUCUGACUAUUAAUAGAUAACUCUUUCUCUUAGAUCGAAACAACAAAAUCCGAGAAAAUUACUUACAAGUUGUGAUUCUUGCUGAGGAUUCUACAUUUUGAGGUUUUGAUUCUCGAUCUCGUAUGCUUCGUGGAUUUGGACGGAGACAUCGACGGCGGAUCUGGACGGAGACGUCGACGGCGGAACUAAACGGAGACGUCGAAGGCGGGUCUGGACGUCGACGGUGGAUCUGGACGACGGUUAGCGAGAGAGAGAGAGAGAGAGAGAGAGAGAGAGAGAGAGAGAGAGAGAGAGAGAGAGAGAGAGAGAGAGAGAGAGAGAGAGAGAGAGAGAGAGAGAGAGAGAGAGAGAGAGAGAGAGAGAGCGAGAGGGAGAGGGAGAGGGAGAGGGAGAGGGAGAGGGAGAGGGAGAGGGAGAGGGAGAGGGAGAGGGAGAGGGAGAGGGAGAGGGAGAGGGAGAGGGAGAGGGAGAGGGAGAGGGAGAGGGAGAGGGAGAGAGAGAAGAUAAGUUAAGGGCAGUAUUAUCUUUUACACAUUAAUAAAUGUGGUAUUUUUGAAAAUGUCAUUUUAUUGAUGGUAAAGUUGAAUAGUGGUAUCAAGAAAAGUGUAUAAGUAAAAUUCCCCUAUAUAUAUAUAUAUAAAUAUCUGGUCAAAUCCCAAUUAGUAAUGAGGUUUUUUGGGAAUAACGACCUAAUAACAAAUUCGUGAAGGUUUAGAUCCAAAACGGACAAUAUCAUACUAAACGAGGAGUUAGACAUCUGGUGACGUACAUUUGGCUCUAUUUUAGCGUCUGGCUUCUAGCACGGACAUCCGAUCUAGCUCCGAUAUAACAUCUAGCCCAUAAGUACAUCUGGUCUGUUACAACAGAAUAGUUGGAUUUGCAUGAGACAAGUUUAUCCCAAAAUUGUAAAAAGGCUUCUCCUGUGACUUAAACUUCAUUUAACAUUAUUCAACUAUAUAUGAAGUCACAUAAAAUUCCACAUUCAAAACAACAAUUCCAAUGCAUAACUUACCACUUAGAUGAUCGUAUUCACAUCGCAUAAAUCUUAACAUAUAGUAUAUUAGUUUAGACUGAUUCCACUACAUCAUCAAUAACAUCAUGCUAUCUAGGAUACCAUCUUAAUCAAAUUAAAUUAUAAUUACCAAGACAUAGUACCAACCUGCUAGGUGCCGUUAUAUGAUGUUUAUUGUCGUCGAUCGAAGGAACAAUGUCUAUUGUUGGUUAUGAGUUACUAGAUGAUUUUUAUGUCCUCAUGCACAAAUACAAAUAUCAAUAAAAUAAAUAGUAUUAUGUUAUUUUAAUUUGACAUAUGAUUUUAGAUAUAUAGUGUUUAAUCGGUUUAAUUAUUUUUUGAGUAUAUUAUAUUGCAUCUGCUUUUUGGUGUUAUUACUAUAAUUAUUCUUAUAAUUAGAUUUUUAAUUUUGGGUGUAAAAUAUUGGAUUGAUCCAUUUAUUCAUUUAUCGAUAUAUUGAGUUAGAUAUAUUUCUUUAAUUUGAAAUACAUCUAUAUUUUGUUUUAAUUAAACAAAAUAAGAUCAGUUUUAUUUCAAUGCACGAGUCUGGUUCUUCAUCUACGAUGUGUAAAUAUAUUUUCAUUUUUGUUUGUACAUUUGAUGUUGUUUUAAAAAAAAAACAAUAAGAAAAAAAUUAAAAUGAUGAUCUAUACGAAGUCGCAUAAAAUAACAUAACUUAUAUACUUUUAUAAGUUAAUGAAUGAAUUUCAAUAUUUACAAUAUAAUUAAAUAUUUUUUGAAUUUUUAGUAAUUUAUAUUUUCAAUGUAUAAAAAAUAUAUUGAAUACUAUAUCAAUAAUUUUAAACAUAACUAUUCAGAUUAGUUUGGGUUUUAUUAUUAAGGAUUGGGUGGUACAGAUAUAAACCAAAACUUAAAAUAAAACUAAAUAUCAAGCAAAAGGAAUUUUUGAUAAUGGUAAAAUAUAAUAUCUAUAGUUCGCUAAAAUAUAUUGAUUUAUAAUAUUUGAUAAUAAUUCUGUAAUUAUUUGAUUAAAAUAGGUUUAUAAUAAGAAAAAUUAGUUUCAUUUAUUAAUGUGAUUGGUUGUCAGCUUUAGAGUGCAAUUGAAAAGCACAAUUGGCAAGAAAAAAAUAGAGUAAAAGAUAUUUAUGCCGCGUUACGCCAGUUUUGUCCAAUCAGGUAAAACAUGUUUUCACUUUAUUUACGCUAAAAGAAAGUAAAAGUAGAGUAAUUAAUUACUUUACAUUAACUAGGAGGAAAAUUUUAGGUUUUUUUUUUCAUAUUCCACUUUUUUCACUUUUUACUCCAUUAAAUACCAGUUACACCCUUAGAGUAAAAAUUAAAAGUGAAAAAAAUAUUUAAUUUCUCAAUCGAGUAAAAACACGUUUCUUUCUAUUUCCUCAUAUUACUAAUCAAACAGAGGUAAAUGUUGACACAUGUUUACUCUCAUAUACAUAACAGUAAACACAUCAUUUGUAUACUAAAUCACAAGUCACAUGAUGAAUCAAAUUCUGACACAUGGCUUGUGAUUAAUAUAAUUUUAAAAUAAACAUUAAAAUGCAUCAUUAAUAUAGUUAAAAUUCUCUCGGAUGAAAAAUAAAAUUGCUCUUAACCGUUCCUCAAAUUUUUUUUUUUUGACGACAAACACCAUGUUUUAUUAAUUCAAGACGAAACGGUUAGCAUGUGGCGCUAACCAUGUCGGAAUCAAAGAGUUUACAUGGGAGAAAAUAGAGUUUUGGAGACGAGCUCCUUUGGCAAGGAGAUCAACUAUUACAUUGCGAUUACGAGGUAUAAAGGAAAUAGAAAAUUCAUGAAACUCAGAUACCAAAAAGGAGAAUUCAUUCCAUUCUGAAGCCAAACUUGGCCAAUCUUCUUCUUCAUUUAUCAGCCUCACAAGCUCUAGGCAAUCCGAUUUGAAAGACAUUGAAGUGUAGCCUAAUUGCAAAGAAUAUUUCAUUGCGCAAAGCAAGAUGUUAAACUCUGCAUGAUGUGGGGAUGAGACCUGUUGCAUCCCAAGAGAACCAUAGGUAUGGGAACCUGGUUCGAAAUAAAAAACAAAGCCGCCACCAAAGACGUUUGAAUUCGUCACCCAGGAUGCAUCCACUUGGCAUCGAGGGAAUGGUGAUUCAUUCUGAACGUCUGCAUUUGCAAAUUUUGUCAGCGCUUUAGGUGAUGAUAUAAUUUGCGCCACUCGCCAUUCUUCUUCUUCUCGAAUAGCGUGGUUAACCGUAUCCAGCGGUAGGAUUUCCUUACCAUUAAAAAUCUUUUCAUUCCAUGCUUUCCAGAUGAACCACGCGAUCCAUGGAAAGCAAGCCAGUGCAGUGGUAGGAGUACCCAGGUUUUUUGCCUUCAGGAGUAAGUAGUCAAAGUUUUCCACCAGCGAACCACUCGGGAAAGAACCUGGAGACGACGGUAUUCCCGAUAGAGCCCAGGUCUGGAGGGCAGGUGGGCAUAGAAAUAAGCAGUGAUUAAUUGUUUCCUCCUCAAAUCCACAUCUUGGGCAGGUACGAUCCGUCCCGCAAUGCCUAUCAACAAGUCGACUACAGCUCGCUAAACACUCUGUUAGAGCUAGCCAUAGGAAAUACUUCCAUAUCAUUGCCUUGAGGGCCGUCGUGCUUGGCUCUGUGACCUGUUGUUCUGUUUCUUCUUCUUUUAAUUGUGAAGCAAGGUCGUACCCGGACUUAACCGUGUAAAGCCCUGACUUCGUAUAGGUCCAGCAGAAACCGUCUUUUUUGCCAAUAUAACUGGGGCGUAAACUCCGUAUUAACGGGAUGUCUCCUGGGUCUAUCAGCGCUUCCAGGAGGUCCGAUCUCCAUUGUUUCGAAUUCUCAUCAAUGAGAUAACUAACACGGAGGUCCUGGUCGCGAUAGAAUCCGGCGUCCAUAGCUGCUCGUGCCGGUGACGUCGAGAUCCAUGGGUCUAGCCACACGCGUGUAUCUUGUCCUGUUCCUAUCAUCUUUCGCAACCCUUCCCGCAGAAGGUCUUGAGCUGCUAGAAUACUUCCCCAUCCGUAGGAUGGGGAGUUUGACGAUUUAACUUCCAUAGGACUAGUAUGCCGGAAGUAUCUUCCUUUCAGGACUCGGGCAAGGAGAGAGUUGGGAUUGUGUAGUAGCCUCCACUGUUGCUUGGCUAGUAAGGCCAGAUUAAAGUCAUGCAGGUCUCUGAAACCUAGACCCCCUUUAUCGAAAGACAAGCAUAUUUUCUCCCAGGCUAUCCAAUGCAGACCUUUAUUGUUUGCUUUCGUGCUCCACCAAAACUUUGCUAUUGCAGCUUGAAGCUUAUUUAUAAUCUCCUUUGGUAGGAGGAAACAUGACAUUACAUAGGUGGGAAGGGCUUGAGCGACUGAUUUUAGAAGAACCUCUUUGCCUCCUUUUGAUAAAAGUCUUGCCGACCAAGAAUUGAUCCGGUCAUUAAGUCGCUUCCUAAUGAAGGCAAAGACCUGUCGUUUAGAUCCACAGAUUUUUUCAGGUAGACCAAGGUACAUUCUCAUACCGCCUUCCUUUUGGAUACCCAGCGUUUGCUUGAGCGCUUUUUUUUAUCUCAUGGUCGACUUUACUACCACACAAGAUAGAUGAUUUCCCGGGAUUUAAUUGCUGUCCCGAAGCCUUCCCAUACACUGUUAUAAUCCACAUCAAAUCAACACAUUUCUGGACAUCAGCUUUGCAGAAAAAUAGGCUAUUGUAUGCAAAGAGGAGAUGUGAAACAGCAGGACUUGCCCUCGCGAUUUUUAGGCCAGUUAUCCUACCUUCAUCCUCUGCCCCUUUCAACUGUGAGAUCAGAGCUUCAGUCAACAGAAUAAACAGAAAGGGUGAUAGCAGGUCUCCCUGACGUAAACCUCGAGAUGGUUGAAUAUUUCCUUUUGGUUCCCCAUUUAACAGAAUUUGAUAUGUAACCGAGGAGAUACACCAUCGAAUCCAGGAUACCCAUCUCUCCGAGAAGCCCAAUUUUAAUAACAGUGCCUCAAGGAAAUUCCAUUCGACCCGAUCGUAAGCUUUGCUCAUAUCCGUCUUGAUCACAACAAAUUUUGCCUUACACAUAGGAUUGGUACGCAGGGCAUGGAAGGCUUCCUGCGCCAGCAGAAUAUUAUCUCGUAUGAGUCGUUUCGCCGCAAAGGCGGAUUGAGUCUCCAAGAUUAACUUCGGGAGUAGUUUCUUCAGGCGGGAACAUAAGAUUUUUGAAAUGAUCUUAUAGCUAACAUUGCAGAGACUAAUAGGCCAGAACUCCGUCAUAUCUCGCGGCCUUUCUGUCUUGGGAAUCAGACAAAUAUUUUUUUGGUUUAGCCGUGGAUCAAAAUCACUUGUCUCAAAGAAAUUCCUAACCAUCGCUAUUAUCUCUUUUGCUGUAACCUCCCAAAAGCUAUGAUAGAAGAGGCUUGUCAUACCGUCCGGGCCAGGUGCCUUAUCGGGAUUGAUAUUGUCGAUGGCCUUCCUGAUUUCUUCAUCGGUUGGUAUUCACGUCAAGGUCUCAUUCAUGGUUGGAGUAACUUUCACGGAAAUAAACCGGAGAGCUUCCUCAAAAUCUCAUGUCUCUGAUGUGGUAAAGAGAUUUUGAAAAUACUCAAAAGCAACUUUUUCAAUGUUUUCUUCGCUUUCAGCUCAUCCUCCGCCUGGUUUUUUCAGUUUUGUGAUCCGAUUACGAGCUCGUCUCUGUUUAGUAAUGGCGUGGAAGAAUUUUGUAUUUCUAUCUCCAUAUUUUAGCCACAAAGCCCGACUCUUCUGCCUCCAAUAUAGUUCCUCUUCCCGAAAGGCUGUGCAUAGGUUCCACUUAAGGUUUAGGAGCUCUUCACUCAUGACGGAAUCAUCGGUAUGGGCUUUCUCGAGUUGCUCCUUAAUGGUUUCAAUCUUCUUCUGCGUAUUGGAGGGGUUCGAUUUUUUCCAUCUUGAGAUCGCACGGCGAACAUCGCAUAAUUUAAUAUGGAGCGUGCGAUUUCCAUUAGUUUCUUCUGGUCCCCAUCCCUCUUCGAUUGCUUCCUUUAGACCUUUCUUAUCUAGCCAUCGUCUAUCAAACUUGAAACUUCUCUGGAGUCUGACAGAUCGAGAUUGAAUCCUUGUAAGAACAGGCCGGUGGUCAGAACCCCAUAGCUUUAGGUACUCCACAUUGGUGUGGGUGAAGAUGUGGUGCCCAUCUUUGUUGCCUAUAGUACGGUCCAAGCGGCAUUGAACUUUGCCGGAUCUGCGGUAGCCCAUCCAUGUCAUGGGGUUACCCUUGUACGGGAACUCAAUCAUUCCACAAUCAGCUAGCAUGGAUUUAAAGGCAAGGAAACAAGUCUCAGGUCUUUUUCUUCCUCCUCUCUUCUCAUGGUUCCCGGUAAUCUCGUUGAAGUCGCCACUCAUUCGGGUCAAUCUUUCCCAUACGUAGUCUCGGCACUCCACGACCGGAUCACCAUAAACAAAAGUCAUAAAAACUUUGUGUCCCUCUAUAGUAGCUGAAAUAUCAAUCAUACGAUUAUAGAAAUAGAGAAUAGACACAUCAUAAGAAUCCAUAUAAAAAGUGCUAGUCCACCGCUUCUACCUUCCUGUUCCACGGUGAACAAUUUAUUAUAACCAAACGAAAAUUGAAAGUCUUGCAGAAAAGAACGAGUGUUUUUUGUUUCAGAAAGAAAAAGAAAAGAAGGUGCAAAAAAAAACUCCGUCAUAUCUCGCGGCCUUUCUGUCUUGGGAAUCAGACAAAUAUUUUUUUGGUUUAGCCGUGGAUCAAAAUCACUUGUCUCAAAGAAAUUCCUAACCAUCGCUAUUAUCUCUUUUGCUGUAACCUCCCAAAAGCUAUGAUAGAAGAGGCUUGUCAUACCGUCCGGGCCAGGUGCCUUAUCGGGAUUGAUAUUGUCGAUGGCCUUCCUGAUUUCUUCAUCGGUUGGUAUUCACGUCAAGGUCUCAUUCAUGGUUGGAGUAACUUUCACGGAAAUAAACCGGAGAGCUUCCUCAAAAUCUCAUGUCUCUGAUGUGGUAAAGAGAUUUUGAAAAUACUCAAAAGCAACUUUUUCAAUGUUUUCUUCGCUUUCAGCUCAUCCUCCGCCUGGUUUUUUCAGUUUUGUGAUCCGAUUACGAGCUCGUCUCUGUUUAGUAAUGGCGUGGAAGAAUUUUGUAUUUCUAUCUCCAUAUUUUAGCCACAAAGCCCGACUCUUCUGCCUCCAAUAUAGUUCCUCUUCCCGAAAGGCUGUGCAUAGGUUCCACUUAAGGUUUAGGAGCUCUUCACUCAUGACGGAAUCAUCGGUAUGGGCUUUCUCGAGUUGCUCCUUAAUGGUUUCAAUCUUCUUCUGCGUAUUGGAGGGGUUCGAUUUUUUCCAUCUUGAGAUCGCACGGCGAACAUCGCAUAAUUUAAUAUGGAGCGUGCGAUUUCCAUUAGUUUCUUCUGGUCCCCAUCCCUCUUCGAUUGCUUCCUUUAGACCUUUCUUAUCUAGCCAUCGUCUAUCAAACUUGAAACUUCUCUGGAGUCUGACAGAUCGAGAUUGAAUCCUUGUAAGAACAGGCCGGUGGUCAGAACCCCAUAGCUUUAGGUACUCCACAUUGGUGUGGGUGAAGAUGUGGUGCCCAUCUUUGUUGCCUAUAGUACGGUCCAAGCGGCAUUGAACUUUGCCGGAUCUGCGGUAGCCCAUCCAUGUCAUGGGGUUACCCUUGUACGGGAACUCAAUCAUUCCACAAUCAGCUAGCAUGGAUUUAAAGGCAAGGAAACAAGUCUCAGGUCUUUUUCUUCCUCCUCUCUUCUCAUGGUUCCCGGUAAUCUCGUUGAAGUCGCCACUCAUUCGGGUCAAUCUUUCCCAUACGUAGUCUCGGCACUCCACGACCGGAUCACCAUAAACAAAAGUCAUAAAAACUUUGUGUCCCUCUAUAGUAGCUGAAAUAUCAAUCAUACGAUUAUAGAAAUAGAGAAUAGACACAUCAUAAGAAUCCAUAUAAAAAGUGCUAGUCCACCGCUUCUACCUUCCUGUUCCACGGUGAACAAUUUAUUAUAACCAAACGAAAAUUGAAAGUCUUGCAGAAAAGAACGAGUGUUUUUUGUUUCAGAAAGAAAAAGAAAAGAAGGUGCAAAAAAACGAUGUAACUCCCGGAGAUGUUGCUUGGUCAAAUAGGCUCCGGCCCCUUGACAGUUCCAUGAAAUUGUAUUCGUAUCUUCUUACUGGGUGGUUUCUGGGACCCCACCGAACCUGAAACAAAAGACAUCGUACUUUUAGCAGAUGUAAACACCUCAUGACGAGGGACAGCAUGAGAGUUAGAUUUCCUUAAAUUACCCGAGCCUCUCUUUCUCGGAGAUGGACGUCCUCUUAGCGCAUUCAGCUUCUUGGAAGCUUGAGCUCCCUUCAAUUCCAUGCUUUGGAUAGUUUUCUUUUUUUCUUUUGUGCCACCCAUCUUACCUUGACUCGUUCCUAUUGGCAGGGUCCUCGAUAAGACAACGCUCUUGUUUUUAGUUUGUUACGUCUUGGUGGGCUGCGGUGCUUUAGCCGCUUCUGAAGUUACACUGUUAUCAUUGUUCACAUCAUUUGCUAGAGAGAGUUGUGAGAUAGCAAUUAUCUCUGCAUCAUAACCAGGUUCAUCAACCAGAAGAUCAUCGUUUUGGACCAUUGUCUCAUCCAUUACUGCAUCACCAAACUCCUCCGCUAGCUUAUCGACUUCAGCCUCCUCUUCUCUAGUCAGAACCAUAUCAUCAAUGUGGCUCGAUUUCAUCAGGGUCACUAGGUCUAGGCAAGGUUCCUCGGGUUCAUCCCUAAGUCUGAGCGGGGAGGAUACAAACCUGGGAGCAAUUGGAGUCAAGUGGGUCCUUUCUUUCCUGAAUACAACAGUACCUAUGUCCCUGGUUAGCAUCGUCUGAGGGGGUAGGAGAAUUGGCAGUUGGUUCUUCCUGUAUGGUUGCUUUUCCUUUGAGACAUCUUCGUCUUUCUUCGGUGGUUUCGUUUUUAUGUACCACCAGAACUCCAGUACCUUGCCACCCAUGCUACUACGCUCAUGUAAUCCACCUGAUAUGGUUUGUUGCGAAUCUGCUUUCUUAGGGGUAUGGGUUCUUUGAUGCUUCGGAUUUGUAACAGUUCUGGAGGGGCUAGAGCUUUUUCCUUCAUUCACCUCAGCCCGCGGUCUCCUGACUUGAUGAGAGGCCUGUGAUUUGUGAGAAUAGUGUCGCUCCUUCCAGCUAUAAGGCUCACUUCCUCUCUCUUGAUCCAUCGAGCCUUGCCUCAGUCGAGAGUUAUAGGCCUCUGCCGUUUUUCUAUCUUUACCAUCAACUCGACCCUCUAGCCGGUUCCACACGGUAGAAUUUUGGUUGUACCGUGGAAUUCGCACCUCCCUCUCCUCUCUUCUACGCUCCAUCGUCUUUGAAGGGCCAUCACAGUUCGCGAAGGCUUUUGAAGUCCAAUAGUUGUCUGAUUCCUUUUGUCGCUUACCAUCUCUGGAUUGACCAGGAAAACCCCCCCUCUUUGGGGAACGCUGAUUGGCUUCACAGUUUGGGGACCGUGGUCUCUUGUUACUUGGUGCACUGCCCUUGUAGUCCCCCCCCCCCGGUCCAGCCAGAGCUUGGUACGUGUGGGCUUGAGAGGCCGAUGCGUUGAGCUCCCGAAAUUCUUUUAUCUUUUUCUCACGCUCCUCCUAAGCCAGAUCCAAACAAGAGUAAAUAUCAUGGGAGAUACGUUUACAUCCAUAGCAGUGACGGUUGAGGCCUUCGUAUGCAUGUAUACUUUUCCGAAAUCUCCAUUGGGAAAUUCCACUUUUGCCUCCAUCUUUAGAGGUUGAUCUGCAUCAAUAGCGACUUGGAUACGAGCGUUCUUUGCAUCAAUAUCCACCUUCUUGCCCAGUGCUUUUGCAAUUGCAUUGAAGGUAUCAUCAUUCCAGAAGUGCACUGGUACACCCGUGAUCUUGAUCCAAAAAGGGAUCGUGUUGGGGAAGUUUUCGCUUGUUGAUGGUUCCCAUCGUUCCAGAGCAAAGAUCCAAUGAUUAAAGUGACAAGGCCUCUUAUUCAGCACCAUGACGAGAUCUUCCUCCUUAUCAAAAUCAAAGCGGAACCGGCCGUUACCCAGAUUCACCCCGCGUGCUCUCCCUUCCACGUUCCAGAUACGAGCUCUCGGAAGGAGGGCAAUCAUCGCUUCAACACUUCUUCCUCCUCUGUGAAAGACUCUACCAAUAAGUGUUCUCUUGAAACGUUCAAACGCCUCAGACAGAUCACAUGCUGGGAUGCAGAUAAUCUCAUCCUUUGCUGCCAGAUCCAGAUUACGCCGUGCUGAGGAAGGGUUGCCUCCUUGACGGAUUAGGUUUGACUGUGAAAUCAUCGUCCGGAAUAGGAUAAUCACACAAAACUUAGCACAGAGCUAGAAUAUCAAAGAGAAACCUUUAGGCUUUCGUAAUGGAAUAAGUAUGCUUUUUGGAAAAAGAGCGAAAUAACGUAGUAAACAACUAGAUCGGAUUGUUUUAAAGCCGUUAUAACCCUACAAGGCCUAAACAAGAAGUGUGGAGUAGUCUUCCUUGCGUAGGAGGUAAGGUUACAAUGAUAUUGUCGUCGAGCGCCGUCAGAGAUUUUGGAUCUGAUAAUCGCCUAGCACAUCUCCCAAAACCCUAGUCAUCUUUUAACUAAGACUAUUCAACCGUUCCUCAAUUAAAGCCACUAUCUCCACCACUUUGCACGUAAAUCAAUUCUUUUUUUUCUUGUGCACGAACUGUAGAACAUUUAACCAAAUAUUUUUUACAAGCCUAUCUUCUUUUCUUACGGGUUUCUUCAUAUCUUUUUCUGCAUUAAUUUCAAACUUUUAUCAUUCAUCACCUGGAUUACUUUGUUACUUUGUAUGAUGGGUUUCUUCUCACUAAAUUCAUAACGAGUUCAUAUGAAACUUAUGCUUCAAAAUCUGAGUAAACAAAACCUUAAAAGCAUUAAUUAGUCUUGGUAUUGCUCAGUUUAUAAAACUAUUUUAGUUUGCUGUAGGCGUGCAUGAGAAAUCAAAACUACAAGAAAGGAGAAGAAGAUAUGAGCAAAUAAAGAAAAGUUUGGAUGAUAUAUGUUGUAAGUAAAAAGUUGGUGAAGGUUGAAGACGAAUGGAAUAUACAGAGUUCAGAACGUUUGAUCAUUCAUAAUUCAGAUAAACAAUAAUUUUGUUUACUUUUUAAUUUUUACAAUUUUUAAAACUAAAUUUCUAAUCAUUUUCUGUAAUUAAUUUUGAACUUUUUCAAGUUAUCUUUUACAAAUUUCCUGGAUUGUUUUAGUAACUAUUGAAAACAUAAAAUAAUUAAUAUUUUCCUGGGUAAUUGUGUUUUUAUAUAGGAAAUAUAUAAAAUUAAUUAUUUUUUAAAUAUGUGUGCACAAACCCAAAAUGAUACUUAAAUUGAAACAUAUGGAGUAAAUGAAAAAACAGUUUUCGUUUUAAUAAAACAAGCUAAAAACUCAGUUCACCCCAUCGCCCCCCAAAAAAUGAUGAAGAAAUCACAUUUCAGAUGUUAAAUCACAUUUCCAAAUUAAUCAUGUAUAAAUGUGUGUUGAUGGUUUGUUUUGGUAUAUUCAUCUCCCACUGAUAAAUCAAAGUUACAUUAUAUAUGUAAUUUUAGUUAUAUAUAAUUGAAAUUUGGUUUUCUUUGUAACAAAAAAAAUAUUCCCAUGCUUAGCAUGGGGUCCAUACUAGUUUACUCUAUUUUACUCUUCUUUCCAUUUCUAUUUCUACUCUUAUUUUCACCUAACUUUCUUCUCAUUUACCCUUCAUUAUCCAAUCACACUCAAAGUAUGGCUGGAAGAUAUGAUUAGAGUAGCAAAAUUUAGAGUAAAAUAGUUUACUGUCAGUUUCACUCAAAUACAACUAAUCACGAUAAAAUAGCUGAAUUUUGAUUUCAGUUAAAAUUCUGUUAAAAUUUGGUUCAAUCGGAUUAAUUUCGGUUUGUUCAGUUUGAAAUUUUGGUUGAUUCCGUUAGCUCAUUUUGAAAUUUAGUUAACAAUUUUUUGUUUGAAAAAUCGAAUAACCUAUCACCGGAUCGAACCGAAUCAAAACCGAUUUUUCAUAAACAUGCCGAACUGAACCAAACUCAUUACCGAACUAACCAAAAUUUCAGUUCAGAGAGUUCAAUUCGGUUAUAAAUCGCAUGCCUACUUACUUUAACAUACAAGAAAAUAUUACUCACCAAAAGCUGCACAAAGAGAACAAUAGCAGCGAAGAGAAGGGUAAUACUAUUUACUUUUACCUUUUUUAUGUAUGUAAGUGUAGUGUGUGACAAAUUAAGCUUAAGAUGAACUAGGAGUGGAUAUUUGGAUUUAGUUCAGAUAUAUUUAAAAUUUUGAAAUUCAGGACAUUUAUAAAUUUUAGUUCGGGUUUGGUUAGGGUUUGGAUAACCCGUUUAAAUUAUUUGUAAAAUUUAAUAUUCAUAUAUACUUUAAAUUUUUCAAAAUCUAAAAAUAAAAUAAUAUAUAACUUAGAAAUUUGAAUAAUAUAUGCCAAAAUACCUAAACUUAACUUAAAAAUUAGCUUGAAUAUUUAAAUGGGAAAUUAAUAGAUAUAUGUAUAAUAUUUGGUGUUUUGAGUAUUGUUUAGCUAUUUUAUAUAUUUACUUUUGAGUAUAUGUAUAUAUUUUCAAGUAUUUUGGAAAAUUUUAAAAUAUCAAAUAUAUUUUGAUAUUUUAAGAUAUUAACUCGUAAAUAAUUAAUAUAAGUAUACAUUUAGAUACCAAAAAUAUUUCGGAUCGGAUUCUGUUUCGGUUCUUUAUAUACCAAAGUUUUAAACCCGUUCAAGUGUUUAACUAGUUUUGGUUUGCAUUUAGUAUUACUUUUUCGGAUUAAAUUCGGUUCUUUGGAUUUAACUUUUUUGUCCAGCGUAAAUCUCCAUUUAUGCGGACAUGAUGGUUAGUUUAGUCUUUUACUUUUAUCAUACAAUAAAAGUUUUAACCCAACAAAGGAAACACAUACUGACAACUAGGUAACUGGAGACAUUCACUAUAAUCUAUCCUUUUAAGGACAGGGAUGGACAUUGCUACUUUGAUGUUUGUUCUUGUGCUGCUUUUGAUGAAGCCAGCUACGAAUCUGAUGAAGAUAUUCGCAUACGUCGAAGAAAGAAGAAAGAUCCGCUCUACAAAAGAUAUCUCGAAGAAGCUGGAUGCCUUAAUGCAACCUAAGCGAGUGGUUCGCCUAGAGGUCAAGACUGAAGAAGAUAAGAGCACCUCCUAGACGUUUUCAAAAUAGGGUAUAAAAUUUAAUAUAGUUAGAUAAUUAACUUUUGGUUUUUUUUUUUCAAAAUAUAUCGGCAUUGAUGGUUCAUAAUAGUUGAUCCACAAAAUACAUAGCUUUGUUUUUUUUUUUAAUAUAAAUUUUCUUGACACUGGUUGAAUGGUUCGUAUAUAGUGAGGUUCCCCAAACUGUUCCGCGAUAAGCUUUUUAUUUCUUGAUUAGCCUUUCGUGACUGUCUCUACACGGUGAUAUGGAGCAGGAACUGGAGAGUGAUUCAUCACUUUCUAUUCUGCAAAGAGUUUAAUGAGACCAGAGAUCACCUAUGUUUUACUUGUCCCUACUCUUAUUCAAUUUGGACUAUUCUCUCUUCAAACCUUCUCUAUUCCAUGAUUAAUACGGACUGGCAUAACGUCGAGAUCCAUAUCUAUCUCUAGCCAUCUAAGUGCUUUGGCAAUCACUUUUUUUUUUUUUUGUUCAACUGGCAAUCACUUCAAGCUUCAGUUGGUGACCUCUCGCUGGAUCACUCAGCUUCGGGAUGAUAAAAAAAAAAAAGAGUUAUGAAACUGAAGAAACCUGAGAGUGUUUUACAACAACUACUUACAUUUUCUUCAUGAGUCCCUGGUAGACUUGGAGCUCCAGCUUUUCCAAGACACCGGACCUCAAGAACCUGAUUGAUAUCAAGUUGUUCAGUGAUCUAAUAAUCCAAAUUAAACAAUCUUAUAUAUGAUUGACUAACAAGAGCAUCUCUACUCUCAUUUAACCUGUUAGCUCUAUAACUAACCAGCCACUGCUGAGCUGUGAACACAGCUACAAUACACUAGAAGCCACCUACGCUAAUCACAAUGCUCUUACACUAGUCUAACACAAGGAUGUAGAUAAGUACAGUAAGAGGUCAACAGAAAGACAUACCGAUCUUCUUGUUCUUGAAGAGCUAUGUUGACGAAGCCUGAGAUCACCCUUUCUCGGAGCUUGCACAACAUUCAUGUACUGGACACAUAGCGAAGUUGGAUUAAGAGAUAUCAAUUUGAUGUAUAAUUGAAGAGACUAUUACAAAACAAAAGGAAUAGUUGUUACCUCAUGAAGAUUAUACUUUGGCAGCAGUUUAUCGUUUGGUAAGAUUCCUAAAGAAAGUUUCACUGGUAUUAAAUACUUCAAUAUCAUCCUGAAUAUAAUAAGCCAAUUAUCCUCAUAAAGCAAUGAAACGCAUAAAGGUUAAUCACUAAUCAGAGAGUAAACCACAAAAUGAACCACAGAAAAUCUAUCAGUGACUCACCAGCAGGAAAAUUCUCGUUGAAGACUUCAAAUCUUCCAGUAUGACACAUGUAUGUAACCUGCAUAGUUUGUGAAUUAUAUAAAAAAAAAACACAAAAUAAAUGUAUAAUGAAAAUCCGGAGGCCAGAAACUAAAACUGCACAGGACAUUGUCUCUUCUCGCAAACUCCAUAUCCGAGCAGUAUCAAUAUACUCAAGGAAGAUUCAGUCCUAUCCAAGUAGACACAUGAACUCAAAUUUUAUCACAUGGUUUCAAGCCCUAAUCUAGAACUUAUUAACCAAAACAGAGAAAUUUAAGCACCUGGAAGAGAAAGAGAGGAGGCGACAAAGCAUAGAAGAGUCUUCGUAUGAAACGGCGUCGCAGAAGCGGUUUAGAUACUCAGUGAUUCGCCACCCAUACAUCUCUGCGUCGAUUACCGUGGAAAAAGAACCGGUUCGGUUUAGGUUGGUUUUAUAAGAACGGUAGACCGGUUCGAUUACGAAAAUUAAAUCGACUCAUAUUUUUAAAACAUAACCGUCGGGAGAAACGCGUGUUGUCAAACGCUUGAUCGAUUCGAGACCGACUCAAAAAUUAGAGAGAGAGAGAGAGAGAGAGAGAGAGAGAGAGAGAGAGAGAUUAAAUUAUCUCCCAAAACAAAAAUAGUUUUCGUUUNNNNNNNNNNNNNNNNNNNNNNNNNNNNNNNNNNNNNNNNNNNNNNNNNNNNNNNNNNNNNNNNNNNNNNNNNNNNNNNNNNNNNNNNNNNNNNNNNNNNNNNNNNNNNNNNNNNNNNNNNNNNNNNNNNNNNNNNNNNNNNNNNNNNNNNNNNNNNNNNNNNNNNNNNNNNNNNNNNNNNNNNNNNNNNNNNNNNNNNNNNNNNNNNNNNNNNNNNNNNNNNNNNNNNNNNNNNNNNNNNNNNNNNNNNNNNNNNNNNNNNNNNNNNNNNNNNNNNNNNNNNNNNNNNNNNNNNNNNNNNNNNNNNNNNNNNNNNNNNNNNNNNNNNNNNNNNNNNNNNNNNNNNNNNNNNNNNNNNNNNNNNNNNNNNNNNNNNNNNNNNNNNNNNNNNNNNNNNNNNNNNNNNNNNNNNNNNNNNNNNNNNNNNNNNNNNNNNNNNNNNNNNNNNNNNNNNNNNNNNNNNNNNNNNNNNNNNNNNNNNNNNNNNNNNNNNNNNNNNNNNNNNNNNNNNNNNNNNNNNNNNNNNNNNNNNNNNNNNNNNNNNNNNNNNNNNNNNNNNNNNNNNNNNNNNNNNNNNNNNNNNNNNNNNNNNNNNNNNNNNNNNNNNNNNNNNNNNNNNNNNNNNNNNNNNNNNNNNNNNNNNNNNNNNNNNNNNNNNNNNNNNNNNNNNNNNNNNNNNNNNNNNNNNNNNNNNNNNNNNNNNNNNNNNNNNNNNNNNNNNNNNNNNNNNNNNNNNNNNNNNNNNNNNNNNNNNNNNNNNNNNNNNNNNNNNNNNNNNNNNNNNNNNNNNNNNNNNNNNNNNNNNNNNNNNNNNNNNNNNNNNNNNNNNNNNNNNNNNNNNNNNNNNNNNNNNNNNNNNNNNNNNNNNNNNNNNNNNNNNNNNNNNNNNNNNNNNNNNNNNNNNNNNNNNNNNNNNNNNNNNNNNNNNNNNNNNNNNNNNNNNNNNNNNNNNNNNNNNNNNNNNNNNNNNNNNNNNNNNNNNNNNNNNNNNNNNNNNNNNNNNNNNNNNNNNNNNNNNNNNNNNNNNNNNNNNNNNNNNNNNNNNNNNNNNNNNNNNNNNNNNNNNNNNNNNNNNNNNNNNNNNNNNNNNNNNNNNNNNNNNNNNNNNNNNNNNNNNNNNNNNNNNNNNNNNNNNNNNNNNNNNNNNNNNNNNNNNNNNNNNNNNNNNNNNNNNNNNNNNNNNNNNNNNNNNNNNNNNNNNNNNNNNNNNNNNNNNNNNNNNNNNNNNNNNNNNNNNNNNNNNNNNNNNNNNNNNNNNNNNNNNNNNNNNNNNNNNNNNNNNNNNNNNNNNNNNNNNNNNNNNNNNNNNNNNNNNNNNNNNNNNNNNNNNNNNNNNNNNNNNNNNNNNNNNNNNNNNNNNNNNNNNNNNNNNNNNNNNNNNNNNNNNNNNNNNNNNNNNNNNNNNNNNNNNNNNNNNNNNNNNNNNNNNNNNNNNNNNNNNNNNNNNNNNNNNNNNNNNNNNNNNNNNNNNNNNNNNNNNNNNNNNNNNNNNNNNNNNNNNNNNNNNNNNNNNNNNNNNNNNNNNNNNNNNNNNNNNNNNNNNNNNNNNNNNNNNNNNNNNNNNNNNNNNNNNNNNNNNNNNNNNNNNNNNNNNNNNNNNNNNNNNNNNNNNNNNNNNNNNNNNNNNNNNNNNNNNNNNNNNNNNNNNNNNNNNNNNNNNNNNNNNNNNNNNNNNNNNNNNNNNNNNNNNNNNNNNNNNNNNNNNNNNNNNNNNNNNNNNNNNNNNNNNNNNNNNNNNNNNNNNNNNNNNNNNNNNNNNNNNNNNNNNNNNNNNNNNNNNNNNNNNNNNNNNNNNNNNNNNNNNNNNNNNNNNNNNNNNNNNNNNNNNNNNNUCCUAUGAGAUUUAGUCAACCUCCUGGUGAUUCUCCACCACUUUAUGUAUCCAAAUCAAGUUUCUCACAAAGAGAUUCAUCAUGGUUUGAUAGGAACGACGAAGAAGCUGUCCUAUUCCCAAACUAGGAAACUGGCAAUCACUUCAAGCUUCAGUUGGUGACCUCUCGCUGGAUCACUCAGCUUCGGGAUGAUAAAAAAAAAAAAGAGUUAUGAAACUGAAGAAACCUGAGAGUGUUUUACAACAACUACUUACAUUUUCUUCAUGAGUCCCUGGUAGACUUGGAGCUCCAGCUUUUCCAAGACACCGGACCUCAAGAACCUGAUUGAUAUCAAGUUGUUCAGUGAUCUAAUAAUCCAAAUUAAACAAUCUUAUAUAUGAUUGACUAACAAGAGCAUCUCUACUCUCAUUUAACCUGUUAGCUCUAUAACUAACCAGCCACUGCUGAGCUGUGAACACAGCUACAAUACACUAGAAGCCACCUACGCUAAUCACAAUGCUCUUACACUAGUCUAACACAAGGAUGUAGAUAAGUACAGUAAGAGGUCAACAGAAAGACAUACCGAUCUUCUUGUUCUUGAAGAGCUAUGUUGACGAAGCCUGAGAUCACCCUUUCUCGGAGCUUGCACAACAUUCAUGUACUGGACACAUAGCGAAGUUGGAUUAAGAGAUAUCAAUUUGAUGUAUAAUUGAAGAGACUAUUACAAAACAAAAGGAAUAGUUGUUACCUCAUGAAGAUUAUACUUUGGCAGCAGUUUAUCGUUUGGUAAGAUUCCUAAAGAAAGUUUCACUGGUAUUAAAUACUUCAAUAUCAUCCUGAAUAUAAUAAGCCAAUUAUCCUCAUAAAGCAAUGAAACGCAUAAAGGUUAAUCACUAAUCAGAGAGUAAACCACAAAAUGAACCACAGAAAAUCUAUCAGUGACUCACCAGCAGGAAAAUUCUCGUUGAAGACUUCAAAUCUUCCAGUAUGACACAUGUAUGUAACCUGCAUAGUUUGUGAAUUAUAUAAAAAAAAAACACAAAAUAAAUGUAUAAUGAAAAUCCGGAGGCCAGAAACUAAAACUGCACAGGACAUUGUCUCUUCUCGCAAACUCCAUAUCCGAGCAGUAUCAAUAUACUCAAGGAAGAUUCAGUCCUAUCCAAGUAGACACAUGAACUCAAAUUUUAUCACAUGGUUUCAAGCCCUAAUCUAGAACUUAUUAACCAAAACAGAGAAAUUUAAGCACCUGGAAGAGAAAGAGAGGAGGCGACAAAGCAUAGAAGAGUCUUCGUAUGAAACGGCGUCGCAGAAGCGGUUUAGAUACUCAGUGAUUCGCCACCCAUACAUCUCUGCGUCGAUUACCGUGGAAAAAGAACCGGUUCGGUUUAGGUUGGUUUUAUAAGAACGGUAGACCGGUUCGAUUACGAAAAUUAAAUCGACUCAUAUUUUUAAAACAUAACCGUCGGGAGAAACGCGUGUUGUCAAACGCUUGAUCGAUUCGAGACCGACUCAAGAAUUAGAGAGAGAGAGAGAGAGAGAGAGAGAGAGAGAGAGAGAGAGAGAGAGAGAGAGAGAGAGAGAGAGAGAGAGAGAGAGAGAGAGAGAGAGAGAGAGAGAGAGAGAGAGAGAGAGAGAGAGAGAGAGAGAGAGAUUAAAUUAUCUCCCAAAUCAAAACUAGUUUUCGUAUUUUCUCUCUUCUUAUAUCGAUCCAGAUUAGUAAUAAGUGUUUUGAUCUCUUUCUGCAAAUCGUGAAUUCGCAUCAAAUCUCUCAUGGCAAUUUUAUUGAUGUUGAUCAGAAGUUCCUUUUCUCGUUCGCCAGGAACCGAUCCGACUCUCGCUCGUCGUCGAGGUACAUCUCUGUAUGUUUUAGGGUUUCCAAAAUUGUUCAAAUCCACUGAAACCAAACGAUGUAUGCCUCUCUAUGUUAGGGUUUCGUGUAACUCCUGUACCAAACGCUGUCGUUUUUUUCAGUUCUGAUCAUAUUUGUUUUCAUCUUUGCGACACUAGUAUUUACUGUUAGUAGCUUCUUUUAUACUCACUUCUUUGGAGUUUUAUAACAGAAACAGAGAAUAAGAAGAAGAAGAAGAAGAAGAAGACUUUAAACAAGAUUCAAGUGAUGAAGCUUUUGGUGGAUGACAAGCAGUCUGAGUUAGAGCGAGCAGAUGACAGAACAUUACCUCAAAAGCAACCUGUGAGGGGGGUAUAUAUUUCUAAUGCCUCACGUAGCAUUUUACAUACGAGUUUUAUAACAUAAAUGUUCCUGAAGAUUUUAGCUUCUUUUUUUUUUGCAGUGAUCUUUGUUUCUCCGCUUCACACCGUCUCUCUAAGGUAGAUUCUCUCUAUGUCGUUAGAGUUUCCCGUUUUAUUUUGAAGCGCUUUAAAGCUUUUUGUUUUCUUAUGGUUUUAUCAGAACCAUGAGCUUAGGUAGACGUUCUUCUCAUGUUCUACCACAUCUUGUUUGGGAACAUUGUUUUUGUUUUUGUUUUUGUUUUUCAAACCACCCCCCCCCCCCCCCAAAAAAAAGAUAGUGUUCUGAUUGAUUCUUAUUUGGGAACAUUGUUUUGUUUUGGUUUUGUUUUGUUUUUAUUUUUCAAACCCCAAAAAAGAUCAUAGACAGACACUAAUCUAAUUGUGUUCUGUUAGAUUCUUAUUUGGAAACAUUGUCCCUUGCUGCCUCUAGAAGAAACUUAUGCCAUCCCCUAUAGCAAGAUUGUAAUUGGACCGAGAAUAUGGGUUGGUAGUGCAUGUAUGUAUAAAGAAGGAUGUUAGGGGAUGGCAAAUAAAAUGCACGCUGCAUUGUCCUCGUAGAUGAUCAUUGGCUCUUCUUUUGUCCCACGGACAUACCACUCUCUUUUAAGACAUGGCCGGUCAUGUUCCUCAACCAGACAAGUUCACGGCUUGCCUCAUACAUGGCUAUGAUCUCGGCGUGGUUGGAUGAUGUAGAACCUAAGGACAAAAGACUUUUACUACCCACGGCUUGACAAGAAUCUGUUUUCAGUUAUUUGAAUGGUACAGUUUGAGAAAGUCUUAAGACAAAGACUAUAACUGAAAACAGAUUACUUACCCACCGCUUACAAAGAUUUCUUACCCACGGCUUAACGAGAAUCUGUUUUCAUUUAUUUGAAUGGUACGGCUUGAGAAAGUCUUAAGACAGAGACUAUAGCUGAAAACAGAUUCCUUACCCACGGCUUACCAAUGUCUUGACAAAGACAAAGAAAAUGUGGGAGGGUUAAGACUUGUCGGAUUGGAAUAAACGAUCGACACAACUUACAAGUCUUAAAGACAAAAGACUUUUACUACCCACGGCUUGACCAGAAUCUGUUUUCAGUUAUUUGAAUGGUUACGGUUUGAGAAAGUCUGAAGACAUUUGCUAAAAAAAAAGAAGUGUAAAGACAAAGUGCUGUGAACAAGAGAUGAAAUCGUGUUCUGUGUCUGUAUUAUUUCUGAAUCAAAGUGUUCCCUUAUAUAUAGGAUACAAGGGAUAGAUAAAAGGAAAGUAUCCAAAUCAUAAACCUAGAGUAAAAAGGAAAACCUCCUAAUGGAUAAACAUGAAAGAUAAAUGGAAACUCUAAACAAGGGAGGCGGCCGACUCUCUCUCCUUUGGGCCGCGGUCUCUCUCUCUAUGGGCCACGGUUUUGGCCUUUGGCUUCUAGCAAUCCACAUUGUUCAUAACACUCCCACUUGGAUGCUAGAACCAUAUGGGCUCGUAUCAUGCACGAUGUUGCCUCGUUAAAACCUCUCUAGGAAAACCAAAAACCCAAGGUGGGAAAAAAUGGAAACCGUAGACAGGAAAAAGAGUAUAACGCAUGACACUCCCC